This 83781-nucleotide long non-coding RNA is filed under the name Chlamydomonas reinhardtii. Its description in RNAcentral is "long non-coding RNA (CREI_LNC000965)". The record is from RNAcentral. Lineage: Eukaryota; Viridiplantae; Chlorophyta; Chlorophyceae; Chlamydomonadales; Chlamydomonadaceae.
CCGGCCGCAGGGUUAAGGCAUACAACAACUGCUUGUUUCACAAUGUCCAGCGCAAUUUCAUCGUGCAAACCGGUGACCCGACCGGGACCGGCAAGGGUGGCACGUCCAUUUACGGGUGAGCUUGACGCUCCCCCCCGCCCCCAACACCGCCGGCAGCAGUGCCGAUGUCAUCGGUAGCCUGCCGCAGCUCCCCGACACACAGUACGUUUGCGAAUGACUACCGCCUGUCCGCCUUCCCACAAUAUCGCCCCGCCCCGCCCUGUGCCCCGUGCCCCUCUCCCCCCCUCCCCCGCCCCCUCCCCACCCCACAAAACAGCAAGAUGUACGGCGACCAGGCGCGCUUCUUUGAUGACGAGCUGCGCCCGCACCUGAAGCACAAGCGGCGGGGGGUGGUGGGCAUGGCCAGCCCGGGCGAGGGACUCAACGCCAGUCAGUUCUACAUCACCACGGGCGAGGAGCUGGACAGCCUGGAUGGCAAGCACACCGUGUUCGGGCAGGUGCGCGUAUGUGUGCUAGGAAAGCGCAAGGGAGAGCGCUGACAUGCUGCACCUGUGUAUAUGGUGGGAUGGCGGGUUCAACACCCAUGUGACUGCACUCUGUGGCUCACGCGGGGGGGCGGUCGGGGGGGUUCAAGGGAAAAAGGGGCACACUUGACAAAUGCCGGAAAACGGGAUUGGGAGCUGCGGAGGGGUGUGGCUGGCUGGGCGCUGUGGACGGCAGGCAGGCCGGUAGGCGGGGCUGUAGCUCAGGCGGAGGGGGGCCGUGUGGGCCGUGCGGGCAUGUGGGCACAAACUGCAGGGAUCCAUCGCGGGGCUCCUGCUGCCGCUGCGCACAUUACCUUCCUUACCUUCCUUACCGCCCGCCAGCCCACUUCCCCCUCUCCUCGUGCACCUGCCCCCCGCGGCCGCGCGCCUUCCUGACCCUGUGCCCACCUGGCCACUGCCCCCCGCCCCGCCCAUACCCGCCCCCUCCACACACGCCCCACCACCAUCAUUCCCAAGGUGGCUGAGGGCUGGGACGUGCUGGACUCCAUCAACGAGGCGUUUGUGGACAGCGACGGCCGGCCCUUCCAGAAUAUCCGGUGCGGGGGUGGGGGCUAGCGGCAACAUGGAGUUAGUCGGGCUUAUUCCACGAUUCCAUGUAAGCAACCAAGGGACAACGAAAUGGGGGGUUGGGAGGAGACUGGAGAACUGGGGAUGUGGCUCGUGCUUGAAAGGCACAAAGAGACAUGAGUGGACACAGUGCCGCAUUGGGGAUGGUUCCAGCACAACCCUUCCGCGCACACAAGUACGUGCGCAUAUCGCAUGCAAGGUAUCGACCCCUUCCUCGCCUGACCAAACUUCACACACACGCGCCCAUGCAGCAUCCGGCACACCAUCGUGUUGGACGACCCAUUCCCCGACCCACCCGAACUGGAGGCGCUCAUCCCGCCCGCCUCGCCGCCGCCCGAAUUCGGAGAGGUGAGAGCCGCGGCUGCACCGCGGGGCGGCAUACUGGCGGCAAAUGCCUCCCGCAUCCUUGUGUCCUUGGUUCCGUGCUAGAAAUGGUAGAAGCAACCAUCCCCAUCCCCGCCACUACCACCCUGCUACCCCAUCCCACCCUGCUAAAACCGUGCUAACCCUGCACUGCCACUCCCCUACGACUUCACCUCUGAAGGUAUCACGAAUGCAACCCGCACCACCACCACCACCACCACCACCACCACCACCACCACCACCACCACCACCACCCACACACAUACACACACACACACACACACACACACACACACACACACACACACACACAGGGCGACCGGCUGGAGGACGACUGGGUGCCUCAUGAGGACACGCGGCCCGCGGAGGAGGUGGAGGCGGAGAGCCGCCGCGCCGAGGCGCACCACCGCGCCGUGGUGCUGGAGAUGGUGGGGGACCUGCCGGACGCAGGUGCGGGCAGAGGGAAGGCAGGGAGGGAAGGAGAGAGGGAGGCAGGGUUUAGGAGGGGAAUCUGGUGGUGUGGAGAGAUGCUCGUGGGCCUGGACUCGAGCGAGCUGGUUGUAGGUACGUGGUUCCCCAAGGGCUCCCUCGUGUGGUGGCGGUGGGGCCCUGGGCGACCAGCUCCCAGAAAACACGCAAAGACGCAAGGCUGGCCCCUGAGCCCCUGGCUGAGGCCCCCACCACGACACCUGUCCGCUGCCCUGCCACCUGCCGUGUCACCUGCCCUGCCACCUGCAACCCCUGCACCCACCUCCCACGUAUCACCCCACCUCCCAUACUACCCUGCCUCCCGCUCUCCCUCUCCCUCUCCGCACCAGACGCCAAGCCGCCCCCCAACAUGCUGUUCAUCUGCAAGCUCAACCCGGUCACCAGCGAGGAGGACCUGGAGAUCAUCUUCAGCAGGUGCGGGCUGGGACUCGGGAAGAAGGGUUGCUUGCAUGAUUGUGGAUUAGCUAAGAAAGUGGUAGACGGUAGGCAAUCGUUGGUGUGUGCCCGGGCCCAACGAGAAAGUCCCAGGGGCAGGGGGCAGCGUCGCGCGGAGGUGGUGGUGGUGGGUUGUAGACACCAGCGCAAACUAGGGGGUUGCAGGUUGGUGCUUGAAGGGCGCGGGGACAGGGCAAACACACCUUCGCUCACCAUGUUUCCUUGUUCAUCGCACGAUUAUCACGCUGCGCACGCACAGGUUCGGCCACGUGACCUCGUGUGACAUCAUCCGCGACUUCAAGACGGGCGACUCGCUCAACUACGGCUUUAUUGGCUUUGACUCGUGAGUGCAGUGUACGGUGUACGGCGCAGUGUGGGGGGCUGCAGCAUACUGUGCUGUACGGGCUGGACAAUGUGAUUACACCGUACUCUGUACUCUGGUUUACCGCAUCAACACCGAAACUCAACAAAACUGCGAUGCGCCAUCACCAGCACCUUGGGCUUGGACUGGACCACCACCUAGCACCCGCCUAGCACCGCCACACCACCACUCCCCAUCGCCACUCCCAUGACCCAUCAUCAGCACUCCCCGCCAUCACUCCCGCUAUUGUUUCCUUACGGGAUUGGUUUACAGUUAAUCACCAUCACUCCCCGCCGCCACCACCGCCACCUCCGCAGUGAUGAGGCCUGCGAGGCCGCCUACUUCAAAAUGAACAACGCUGUCAUCGACGACCGCCGCGUGCGCGUGGACUUCAGCCAGUCCGUGCACCACCUGUGGAAGCAGUUCAGGAAGUGAGUGGCAAGGGGUGGGGCGGGUGUGCGAUGGGGGCGGGUGUGAUGGGCGCGUGUGGUCACUUCCAGGGCCCAACCAAUUCAGACCCAGAAUCCGAGGGGAACGGGGUACGGAUGCGGGUAUAAGUAUGCGUGGUGCGUGGCUGGAUAGUGAGCGGUGAAGCUGUUGCUCUAAUGUGCAUGGAAAGCGCAGUUGUACUCUGGAUUGCACUGCGGCCUGGCGGAACGAGUGUGAAAGUGGCGAAGUCCGUACACCCAGCAAGACUCACAAGUCUUGAACCAGCCGCGUCACGCCCCACCUCUCCUUCGUCGCAGGGGCGGGCGCAAGGGGGACGCCUCCAUGGGGCGGAUGGCGGACCAGCACCAGCGAGAGGAGGUGAGAGGGUUGGGGCGGGGUGGCGUGUGGAGGUGAGGGGGUGGGGAGGAGGUGAGAGGGAUGGGGUGGGUACGGGGCGGUAAGAGCUUGGAGCAAAGCGCGAGAGCUGCAUAGGUGGGGAGGUCUGCAUGACGCGCUCCCCACUGCACACGCUCCAUGCGCAGCGAGGGAAACGGCAGCGAGGGACACAGAUGCGUGUCUGAGCAGCAUGUGUGUUAUGAGCGAGGCCGGGCCGCGCAACCGCUGGCCCCUGAGUCAUGCCCUAGGCAUAUGCGAUGUUUGCGCAUGCCUGCACCGCCCCAUGCCACCGCGGCACGUGUGUGGCUUGACCGACUGAUGGACGCCGUGCGCGCGUGUUGCAGAAAUCCCGGGUGGAGCUGAAGAAGGGAGGUGGCGGCGGGCGCGGCGGCGGCGGCGGCGGCCACGACCUGCUGCUGAUGGAUGCGGACCAUGCAGUCGCCAUGGCGGCAGCGCGGAUGAACAACGGCGGCGGCAGCGGGCGCGGUGGUGAUGGCAGCCGAGGCAGUGACCGGGGUGGCGACAGGGGGCGCGGCGGCGACGCAGCGUAUGGCGGCGCCGGCGCCGGACGUGGCGGGCGCGACGGUGGUGGCGCUGGCGGCAGGAGGGAGGGCGGCGGCUGGGACCGCGAUGGGCCGCAGGACCGCGGAGACCGGGACCGGCACCGGGAGCACGAGCGUGUGCGUGAGCGUGAACGUGACCGGGACGGUGGCGCCGCCGGCCGCGAUGCUGGCGUGCGCGAUGGCGGCGGAGAGGCAGGCCGGGCACCGCCACCACGUCACCGGGAGCGCGCAGACCGCGAGCGGGAUCGGGAGCGCGACUGGGGCGUGGAGCGGGAACGGGAACGGGAGCGGGGCCGGCACAGCCGAGGGGAGGAGGAGGAGCCCCGGGACCGGGAUCGGAAGCGAGACCGGGAGCCGGACAGAGAGCGGGACAGGGAGCGGGAGCGCAGCCGGGACCGUGUCGAUGUUCGGGAGCGCGAGCGGGAGCGAGGGCGGGAGCGAGAUGGCGACCGCAAGCGAGAGGGCCGCGAAUAUGACCGCGACAGGCAGGGGGAGCGGGAGCGCGAGCGGCCUCCGGAGCGGGAGCGGGAUAGAGAGCGCCAUGACCGGCGGUGAGCUCAGACUGGGGACAGAGGGAUGUCGCCAUGCCCCUUGGGCCUGACGCCUUGGUCGCCGGUUGCAGUGUUGCUUCUUCGCUGCAAGCUGGUGGCGGGCCGCGAGCACGCUGGGAGUGCUGUACGGUGGCGGCCUCUAGGGGCGAAAAGGUGCUGGGGCCGCCUGACAUGUUCUUGCCUGGCAUUUCGCGUUGUUUGAGACGAGGGCAGACUCGGAACCCAAGGAAAGGACUGUGCUGAAGGGCCCACGGUGCACCGUGGUGGUGUGUGUGGUGAUUUCCUGUUGCCCGUGCGGCCGAACGGACUUGCGGCAAUCCGAACGGUAGUUUGUCCUCUUCAACUCUUCUUACCAGCCCCAGAGUCCAGCGCAGCAAGAUAGUUCCGCAACGCACGUCGAUAGCAAGAAUGCAAGAUCUGGGAGGGAGACAGCUGAAGCGAUGGCUUUGUUGUUACACACACGUGGACUCACAUAAGCACGCGUACGUACAUAGCGCAUCUGCGCCGCCCAGAACAUCGCCACCCAGCACCCCUCGUGCCCAUCAAAUGCGGAUUUAUUUCCCCGAAGCCCCUGCGAUUGCGUUCGUGCCUUCAACUGCGUUCAGGCAGGGCAUGGCCCCCGGCCUUUGCCCCAACAACCCCAACUCCCAUCCUUGCCCUCAGGCGCGCAAAACCUCCAACCUCCAGCGUGUGAUACACACUGAUCCACACCAUCACACCAACUGCAACGACCCGUGUCACCCCUGUCCCCCGUUCCCAAAACGCUGAGCCGUUUCUCCUUGGAGCCGCAUCUACGGUACGCGCGACUCACUUCCGUCCGUCCAGCCCCCGCGCCCGCCGUCCCUCUCAACCCCCCCGUGCCAAGCAGGAACACGCCUCAAAACUCUCCAUUUUUGGUUGUUCAUGACCGACCGACGUGUACUAGUAUCAAAAUGCCCCGCCACCUAACAGAGCGCACCUUGCCGGUUCGCGCUGCCGUACCAUGUCACUCGGGCCGCCGGGAGAAAGCUACUGAGAGGCUGGACCCAAAGUACCAGCGUUCAAUCUCGCUUCUCGCAUUCAAUUUCGUUCACACACUUGCAUACGUCACAGCAUAAAAUGUUUCAAAAACGCAGCCGAGACACACCGGUCCUCAGGUCCGCAGCGGUCGCGGAAAGUUAAGGUAAGUCGGUAACAAUAUUGCCGUACUGCUACGCCAGCCCCAAGCGCGGGCGAAUGCAAUCGAGUCGAAAUGGUCCACGCCUGUCAGGGUCACACCGUCACACGCGCACACAGCCGAGUUGCGGUUGAUGCAAUCCGGUGCCAACUUCCCAUUAAAUGCUCUCUCGCUUUGCACCAAAGUGCAAAAAGGUUGGAUUCAUGGAUUCGUCGCCGGGAAAGAGCCCCUGGCAGCCGCUCCACGUCAUUCCAACCCCAUCAUUAGUCAAAGUCCGUCCGUGUGUAGCACAUGUCAUCUGCUUGGGAGGCAUACGGAUGACACGCUCCUUGCUGAACCGCGUGCCAGUCACCAUGCCCCCAAUGCGCGUCCCUUCGUCUGGAAGCAGAAGGGACGACAGGCAUAUAAUCCAACCCAGCCGUGUGCUUGUGUGUGCAUAUGUUAUGGAUAUCUGGUAAGCCUGAUGCACAGGCCUGCUUACGCUUGCCCAUGCACUUCCAGCAAAAUACUAUCACAUGUAUUUACGCCGGGUGGAACGCGCCCGGGACGUCAUUCCGCCCAUUCUACCCCGUCCGGAAUUGCUGCCCAUCACCCCUUUUUCGCAGUGCUGUCGCGCACGCAGCCGGGGCCGUCACCGGCCCGCACCUGCCGCCCGCACUCUCUCGCAUUCUCUCUCAUGCCCGUGGUCUCUCCGCUUGCUUCUGCAAAAUGGCUUUCUUCGUGUCGUCACUGCGAUUGGCCGCCUCGCCUCCUCGUUUACCAGGCACUCCGGCCCAAAGCUCAGCAAACGCUUGCAGAGCUGAAAAUCGGUCUCAGAGGUUGACCUCAGUCUCGGUCUCAGGCUGUUGCUCCGUCUCAGAAGCUGAACCCCGGCCCAGCCUUUGAAGUCGUUGAUCGGCUGUUGCUCGGUCUCAGAGGCUGACCCCGCGUUCGGACUCACAGGCUGUACUUGAACAUCAGGUCGGAAGUGGCCUGGCGGAACUCCACCGGUCGGCAACCCACCACCUGGGGGUGAACAGGAGGUACAACACAAAAAUACGUGCGUAUGGCCGUGUGAGGCGGGAUGGCGUCGGGCAGGACCAUGUUUCAUGAAUUUGCUGUUAGCAGGCGUAUGGUGUGCGACGCGGGGCACUGUUGUGUUACUAAGUUGUGUUAGGCCGCGUGGCAGCCUGGCGUGCAAGUAUGGUACCGUACGGAACAGACUCGCCCCUCGCCCGCGUGCCCCAGACCAACCACACAGCGCACGCGCGCGCGCACACACACACACACACACACACACACACACACACACACACACACAGCACGCAUCGCAUGCAUACAUGCAUACAUUCAACCCACCUCGUCCACGCAGGCGUUGUUGAAGUACAUGCGCACUGUGGGCGUCUUGUGGAUGCGGUGCAUCUGCGUCAGGUCGCACCGCUGCAGCCCCAGCCGCAGCCGCUGCACCGGCUGCGGCGAGCCGCCCGCCGCCGCCGCCAGCUGCUGGUGGUGCUGGUGCUGCUGCUGCUGCAGGCUGUGCGCGCAGUUGAUGCCGGCGUUGGUGGCGUUGGUGGCCGCGGCGGCGGGGAGCUGGCCCAGGCGGCCGACGCCGCCCUGCUUGAUGGCGACAGAGCAGUUGACGCGCGCGAACACGACGCGGCGGCCGCAAAACAUGUGGGACAGGCGCUGCAGCUCCGACUCCAUGCGGCUGCUGGCGUUGCACCAGGGCGCGUGGAACAGCACGAUCGCGAGGUACCUGAGACGCGAGGGCGAUUGGGGAGCGAGGGUGAGAGUCAGGUAGUGGUGAGGGAAGCGAAAGAAAAUGUUACCAGGGGCGUCACCAGCGCAUGAGAAGGGGCGGUGGAUGUUGGGUCGAGCCGUGGCUUGAGUCGUUGGGUUACAAAAUGCGAUGGCAAAGGUGCGAAAGCGAGUGUUGCCGACUGCGAGUCCUUGACAAAAGCGGCCGCCCGGUUCAGUGUCCCCGCUGCCCCCAGUAAGAGCUCACCCGGCGCGGUUGGCGGCCACCACGAACGAAUCAAACUGGUCAGGCGUGCGCAGGACGGCCAGGUCGGAGACGAAGGGCUGAGCAGCGAAGCCCGGCAAAGAUGCAUCCGGCGAAAGCGGUGGUACAGCUGCGGGGGCAGUUGCGAUCGCGGCGAAAGCCGAUCCGUCGUUGCUUGCGCUAGGUGCUGCCAGCAGCGCGUAGACCGUCGACAGAGCCAGCGCAGCGGCCACGAAGACGCGAGCGAAGUGACCGGGCAGCGAUGAAUCCGUGUGAAGGCCAGCCGCAGCGGAGCUCGUGGUCGAGCUGAGUGCUACCGGCCCACUGGCUGCUAGGUACACGGCGGGCGACGCUGGCUGACUGGUGCUUGCCGGUGAAACAACAUUCGCUGACAGUACUGUAGCCAUGCGCGGCCGCUGGGGUGCCAGCCGGCCGGGCGAGCUAAUAGCACGUCGUUGCAGCAGCGAAGAGGCGCCACUGCCCAGUCCCAUGGGAAGAUUGCCCAGCGCGGCCAUGGCUGAAAAAGUUGUUGCCUUGCAAGCCUUGGAAAGUCUAGUGCGUGCCGUUUAGUCCUAGCGCCAGGUCAGGCCGCUGCAGGACACAAUACUUAGCAGUUCUAGAAAUAGACUAUGACGGCAAAUGAACCCAGCUCGACGCUUGCACACCCCGAGAUUGCAGACGUGGCAGGCGGGGACCUCAAUGCGCCAAAAUGUGUAUAACUUAAACGCAAGUUAAGUAUAAGCGUGGCAGCUGCCAGUCGGCAAACAGCAAUUCCACGCGAACCCACCGAUGCGUGGAUUGCCGUCCGAGGACUUUUCGCGAACAGCUCGAAUUGCCUCCCCCGAGCGCGGCAUGCACAAUUGAAGCAACACUUGACGAUUCUCUCAUUUCCAUGGUGCGUGAAUCGUGGCGCGGACUGACUCGAGUCAAACGGGCAGGCAUCCGAAAGUGCAGCCAUCCAGCCACCCCUUCGCGAACCCAGAGGAGACAAGCUAUGCAACCCUGGCCAAAUUUAUAUGCUGUUCAGGUAUCGUCUGGCACAUACCAUACAGGUUCACGCGGUGGCCAGGCCGCCGAUGACGCCGUGGCCUUCCAGCGCCCACCAGAGCCACAGAGCUCCAGUCUUCUCCAACUUGUCGCUUCUAGCGCUUCGUCAUAACGUUCGAUGUACAGUCAAUGCGUCUGUCCCUUGCACGCAUGGACUAAACGCCGUCAAAUUGAGUUCACCCGCCGCGCACCGUCCGUGUAAUCCUGCGCCUUCAGCCAGCGACACACGGGUGACACGACCACCCAUUCAUGCAUGCAUCGGCAAUCAUGCCCAGACCUGCCCCAUCGUCACUAGCCGCCGCCCAAGAGGCCCUGAGCGCAGGCCUCCCUGGCCUCCGUGGCCAGCACCCCACCCGGCAGCACCGCCGCACCAUACCAGGAGACCACUGCUGCACCACGACAAGUUCCCAGACACCAGCAGUAUGGCGGCACUCCUAGGGCACCGCCGCACUGCAUGACGGCCUGGCCUCGCCGCGCCUCGAAGCCGCCGCCGCCGCCUUCCAGGCUUCUACCAACAAUGCCCAGCCAUCAUCCAUUGCAUCACAUCAGCCGUGGCGGGACCCACAAGCCCGGCAUUGUACAGACUGCGAGCCCUUGUAUCACACAUACCACACACCCACACGCUCUGCAGGCAGCCCCUGUAACAGUGAUAUACGACGUAUGAAAGGAUUGACAGUGCAUUGAUCUCCGCUCUCGUCUAAGAUGCUCUGAGGAAUCGCACCGACCAUGCAAAGCACGAAACCGCUCAGCAAGUAAACGCAACCCGCACACACGGACACACGGACACACACACACACACACACACACACACACACACACACACACACACACACACACACACACACACACACACACACACACACACACACACACACACACACACACGCACGCACGCACGCACACACACGCGCACACCUUAAGGAGAGGGCGCCCGGAUGCGCUGCAGACAACGCCGUCACACGCGCGGCCCUUCAGCCACUGCACGCCUCAAGCCAGCCGCACGCCAUUCCACCCACCGGGCCACCACCCGUCCCUCCGUCACCCGCCGCCGCGCCGCCUCAGUACCGGCGUCGCGGCUACCGCCCUUCCCCCGGCGCCGCGCCGGUGUGGUAGCGGCUGUGCACAGCCACCGUGACCGCGUCCCCAGCGCUGCUGCUACCCACGCCGGCGGCGCCCGGCACCCCUAGAAGCGGCUCCGUGAGCCCGCCGCCAACGGCGCCGGCCGCCCCGCCACCGCUGAGGCCGCCUGCGCUGGAAUUGCGCUUGUCUGCUCCCGCCACCGGCUGCGGCGGCGCCUUGGGCGCUGGGGCCAGUGAGUUGAAAUAGCCGUACAGCGCCAUCCCGAACACGGCCAGGAUCAUACCUGUGUGACGAGGGCGGAUAGCAUUGGUUACAAGAGGGACAUGCUGGCGCGGUUCACGAGUCAGUGACGUGGAAAGCGAAAGCAGGGGUAGCGGGGGUGGAGUCGAGGGUUGCAUGCAACAAGGAAACCGGGAAACGUUGGAUGGAUUCGCGACGGGGAGUGCAUGAUGGCGGUUGUUGGCUGAGGGCAGGAAGCGGAGGAGUAGGCGCGGCCAGCAAUGGAGGAGACAGCAGUUAGGCUGCAGGCUCCUGCCCUGGCACGGGCCGGAGGCUAAAUCGAGGCAACGUGGCCGCAUCCCGCCAGACCUCCGCGCAGUGAGGACCCCGGAUGGCCCCAGCGCUUGCUUUCCCAUGCCAUCACACCACCAUCAAAAAAACGGAGUGCCGCACCGCCACACCGCACCUCACCAAACCCCAACCCAACAACAACACCACUGCGACAUCGCAACAGCCUAACCCACAUCUCGCACCAUGCAAACCGCAUCCUGAGUUCCUGACACCCCUCCCCGACCCACUCCACGCCGCCCCACACGCCGCCCCAUGCCACCCACCGGCCAGCUUCCUGUUGGUGAUGACGUCGCCCAGGUACAGCCAGCCGCAUAUGAGCACCAGCACCGUCUUGGUGUGGCCCAGAACCUGUGGGAGGGAGGGGAGGGAGCGGUCAGGUCCAAAUCCAACUUGAGCGAGACCCAGAACCCGACCAGCCAGCCCACAUGGGCGUGUGGGGUGUGGGGAAGGCGGGCAAUGCGGGUAGCUGAGCGUGUGGAUGGCGCCGCGUAUGGUGCCAGGGGGCAACAUGAGGGGGCUGCUUCUGCCAGCAAGUGACCUACGGGCUGGUGCGGGUCCUGGUCUUCUUGGGGUAGGAAUGAACUAAACCCCACCCCUGCGUCAUGCUAUCCGCCCCUCCCACCUGAAACGCCAGCGCACCGAACCUGCCCAGGCACAUAACCUCCCCCCCUUUCCGUGCCGCGCUUUCUCUUUUGCUUGACUGCUUCAACCAGACCGUUCGCUUAGACUCUCUCGAGCGCCCUCCCCCCGCCCCCCCCCCCACACACACACACACCUGGAACGUGACUGCGCUGAACCUGCCCAGGCACAUGAACUGGCUGAUGUUGACCAGCACCGCCACGGCGCAGCUCCAGAACAGGCAGUUGAGCGCCGGCACGUUGAAGUCGUAGGAGCCGAUCCAGUGCCGCGUCAGCAGCUGGUCCACGAAGGGGCCCACAGCCAGCAGCAUCAGGCCCUGAAGGGGGGCGCGGGGAGAGGGGUGGUGGCGAUGCGUGUCAGCUGUCACGUGUCAGGGUGACUUUCUACCGACGUCACAACCUGUGUCACCCCUCAAACCUUCCCAGCUUCCCCAGCUUUUGGCUCUCCCCCCCCCUCCCCCCUCGCCCCCUCGCCCUCUCGCCCCCUCGCCCCUCGCCCCUUCUCACCCUCUCACCCUCUCCCCCUCUCCCUCGCUCCCUCACUCCCUCGCUCCCUGGUUCCCUCGCUCCCUCGCUCCCUGCUCCCUGCUCCCUGCUCCCUGCUCCCUGCUCCCUCACUCCCUCGCUCCCUCGCUCCCUGCUGCCUGCUCCCUGCUCCCUGCUCUCUGUCCCUCUCCCUCCAAGUAUGGCGCGUGUACACUGCCCUUGUUUCGGACAGCCACCCCCAACCAGUCAUUCCCCAGCUACUUCCCUCUCAUCGGUCAAAGCGAAAUACGCACACACACUCCCCCUCCUUCCCUGCAACACCUCUCCACUUCUCCCUCUCCUCCUCCCCCUCCUUCUCCGCCCUUCCCACCUGCACGGGCGCUGUGUUGCUGAGCAGCUGGUUGCUGGUGAGGCCCAGCCGCCGCUGGAUGGCGCCGCACAUGAUCUGCUGCAGGCCGCUGGUGACCACACUCACGGCGGCGAUGACCAGGCCCAGGCCGUUCAUGGACACGUCGGUCACCGUGCUGCGGGUGGUUUGGUGUGUACGGAUAGGUGUGAGCGCGUGUACUAGAGGGCGCAAGGGAAGGAAACAUGCGGGACUGUGUAUGCGGCCUGUGUAUUUGUCAGGGAGAGCGCGCAGGGGAAGGACCACACAAAUGCCGCCCUCUCGUGAAGGUGCGAAGGCAGUUUGCGAGCAUCGUAUGUGCGCUGUCUCCAAACCCCUUCCACACAAAGCCCUCCAGCGCUCCCGCCGAGCCCGCCUCACGUCCCGUAGGCUCGUAGAAGGUACUGUAAAGCCUACUGUGAAGCCUGCUGUAAAGCCUGCUCUCCCGCUGAGACUGGUGGAGUCAAGCCCCCGUCCCGCGUUCUCAUCCCCCGCGCUACUCACACAACAGCCACGCCCACGACCACGACCAGGAUGGAGCCGACCAUGGGCCCCGUGAAGGUCCGGUUGAACCACGCGAACUCCACCAGGCACACAAACGGAAUGAUGAGCAGCUUGGAAAUCUGCACAUGGGGUGCGUUAGGGAUGCAUGAUGCAUGCAUGAUGUUGACGGGCACAGCAAGCAUACGCCAGAGAAUUGGGGCUUUGCCCGCCGAAUCGGCAGUAGCGUGCAACACCCAACCUGGGAAGCAUGCGUGUCCCCUCCCUGCCCCUGCUCACUCCGUGAACGCGUGACGCUACAUUGCUGCUACCGAACCUGUGCUCUGUCCAUAGUCCCUCGCCCAGGACCCGCUGACCUGGUAGAAGCCCACGCUGUUCACCAGCAGCGAAAGGUUCAGGCUGGCGAUGGACACACUUGCAAUUACCGCGAACAGGAGGCAGUCUGCAAGGCAACAUAAGCGUUUUGACGUAUGUAUGGUAGCAAGAACAUUAUAUUACGACGGCGCGCCGGCGCAAAUGCGGGCGUUCCCACCUUUUAGGGGCAUCACUGCGCGCUUCCCGAUGCCGACCGCUUCCAUGAUGCGCACGCUCGCACCGCAAGCCAAAAAGUGGAACGCACAUAGCGUCGUAGCUGCACGAGCAGAAUAGGUUGGACCAACGUUAGUUUGCGACCCCUGUUGCACACCAAACAUAGCCCCAACAAUGCAUCUGAUCCACUUACCAAACACGAACUUGUACCCCAUCUUAGGGUCCAUCAGGACCUUGUUCACGAAGACGAUGAGCACGCUAGUCGACACAUUCAGGAACCACGCGAACACGUCCGUCGCCAUUUUGGCCUCACGAGGAUCUAGUUGUGCGCCCAUCGUUGCGAUGGUCUGCGCCUCGGGGCGCCUCGCAAGGAGCUAGAUGGUCAGUUCGAGUUGGGGGCCGAUUCUCAAGGAAGCUCAAGUGAUUGGAGCUAUGUGUGUGGCAUAUGAUAUAUGUGGUAACUUAUUUAUGGUUGCAGUGACAAUCGUCCCAAGGGCGGCACUGGUGCAAAUUGGCGGGCAACGUCGCAUCUGGGCAGCCGGCGCGGGAACGAGCGCGUUCAGCUCCAGGUCCGGCGGCGAAGCCACCCUCGCCCUGGCCCCUUUCCUCAGCUACACUUUCAGUCGUCAGCGUUCACAGUGAGCGGUUACAUGCAGUACAGCAUUACCACGUUUGUCAGUACCCACUGCACGCGUGUGAGCAGCUUGGUGACUUUGAGCGCCUCAAGCCAGCAGAACGGUGAUUGCGUAGUGCGCAGGCUCUAUUAGGACCCGGGAAAGCCAGGCACAACCCGGAACGAACAGCCACCUUCAUGCAUGAAGUGGCGACAAGGCAGUGUCAUGAAAGUCACCAGCUAUAACGCAUCUUUGCCUGUGAUACAGGGCCAUACCUUGCCGGCUUGCCCCGAGCACCGUGCAGCCGCGCAUGCGCCGUACUCCCGAGACUUGUGCUGGGAAUGCGUCCCACUCUCGCACUGUGCUCACAGGCGCACGCGCGUAUUCACCGACGCAAGUUAUCGUCUGUAAGUCCUUUUGCAACAUCUUAACAACGCACACUCGCAACCUCAAGUGGCUAUCACUCGCUUGUGAGGGGGCAACAUAUACGAUCAGCCUGGCUAGGUGUCCCCGACCCUCCACUCAAAGGAUCGCCCGCGCGGCGGCGACAUGCGUCGACCACUGCUUCUGCUGGCUGCUGACUGCUCGCAGCGCUUCCCCCUCAAGUCCCCGCACCCACCAAUCGGACCAGCAGGAGCGCACUGCGCCUGCCCUCCGCAACCGCCAGCCGCCAUCGCAGCCGCGCCAUCAAAUGCAUCCCGUACAUUUACAACCCAGGCUUUGCUGCCGCUGCCCUUCCCGGCAUGCUGCUGCUACGCAAAACGAGCGCACCCGAUCGCAACAACCACCACUCCACCACCACGAGGUCCUGCUGCACCCCACCUCCCCUCCGCGCCUGGGUCUCCUGCCCACAUUGGGCGGAAUACCAAGCCACCCGUGCGAGCCACCCCAGCAUUGCCAUCCCAUCACUUCCUCUCCCUCAUGCCAAGCGGACGGCACGCGACACCGCUGCAAGCCUCGCACGCCACAUACCGAAACAAGCGCCGCGCCCGCUGCUCCCUCGCCGCCCCAGCUGCCGUGCCCGGGCUCAGAAGACGUCAGGGUUGCGGUGCGGCCCCAGGUGGUCGCUGUUGGUGGCCUUCUGCAGGUGCAGGCUCAGCGAGUAAUUUGUCAGCUGCAGGCUCCGGACCUGAGGAGGCGGGCGGGAGCGGGGGGCGAGAGGAGGCGGGAGGCAACAGUCAAGGCCGGUCAGUGCAGUGAGUGGCGAGAAGGCAGGUGUGACUGUACACGGCCAGCAUCCGGGAGCAGUGGCGCUCGGGGCGGCAGGGACGGUCCAAACGUGAUGCUGCCGUCAUAAGGUGACCUGGGUCGCUCCCCGUCUCUUGGCGUUGCCCAGGACGUACCCCGGCCGUUUUCUGUGCUCCACAGGACCCGUCUCCCUCCACUCCCAACCCAAAGGGCGCUUAUCCUAUGUAUGAACCUCACUCCGCGCUUAUAGUCCGCACACGCACACAAACAAGCACACGUCACGCAGUCCACAUGCGCUCGCACCGUACACGCACACGCAGUCCACACGCACACACACGCACACGCAGUCCCCACCUGCUCCUGGUACUGCGCCAGCAUGGCCUUCAGGUUCGCCGCCUCGCCCUCCGCCGCCGCCUUCUCCUGCGCGGGUAGAGAACAGGGAUGGCAUGGACACGCGAAACAUCAGCGGUGCAAGUCGGGCUCCGAUAUCGUCAGUACAGGCAGUGGUGCGAUGCGAACUGUACAUACAUACGGUAUACAUCUACAAACCCCCCAAGAGAAGUGCAAAUGUUGUUGGCUUUACUGCUAUCCACGUUGCAACCUCCCUCCUCUGCCUCGCCUAUAACACACGGCUACGUCGCCUGCCCCUCACGCCUACAUCGGCCCCCAACCCACCUGCAGCUGCCGGUGCUGGAUCUGCACCGCCUUCUUCAGCAGGGCGUUCUCCUCCGCCAGCUUGGCCGCGCGCUGAGCCACAGACUGGUGGGAGGAGGCGCCGGCGCCAGCAGCAGAGGCGCCGGCGCCGGUGCCCGGCUCUGGUGACGCCGCCGAUGUGGACGCCCCCCCGUCCUGUGCGCGGGUAUGCCGCAGCAUCGUUGUUAUAUCCCGCCGCUUGGUAGUUGCAGGGUGCUGUUAAUGCUGCAGAGCUAGAGCUCCCGCGCCGACCCUCACGCACCCUGACUCAACACGGCGCUUGGUAUUCGGUUUGCAACCCCACACCACCCCAUCACGCCUUGUUAAACAUUUUGUGCCCACGCCCACCACCCACACCUGCUGCUGCCGCACGUAUCGCACCACAAAUGCUUCAAACUGCCGCAAAAAGCCCGCCGCCCGCGUCCGCGCGUCCGUGAGGUCGCGUGCCGCGCUCAUCUCCCCCACCAGCACCUCCACCCACUGCUCCGCCGUCGCGGGGCCGCCCGAUGUGCCCGCGUCAGCUCCAGUCGCUUCUGCCGCGGCCGCGGCUGCAGCCGCAGCUUGCGAGCUGGGGGGCGGCGGCGUUGAUGGUUGCGCUUCUGCGGGGGGCGAUGACCGGGCGGGAUGGGGUAUAGCGCUCAGUCGUGCAGUGUGUAAGUAUAGCGGUGCCGAGAGCAAAUGUCCACUGCACGUGCUGCUAACGGGCGCAGUCACUGUAAGAGCUAAAGCGCUGGGUGCGCCUCCGGUCGCUUGGUCGCGCGGGCACCCGUGCCACAGGCCACGCACGACACUGCCGUCCCGGCCCUGUCACUCCUGCCCUCCCCCCUCGAAUACAAGGCCUGCCAGGUGCACGACGCCCUCGACGUUUGCCCCCGUCACUUGGUCGGGCACGCCAUGUCGCGCUGCAGCGAGUAGCAGCUGCGGCACCGUCGCCCCCGUCUUCACCCCAACCCACCUCGGUGGUCAGCUGCAGCAGUACUCCCAACGGAUAGUCGCAGCUCGCCCAGCCGUUUGAUGGCUGCGUCAAUGUUGUUGCCGCAUUCCGCAAGGACGCUCGUCACAGCCUGCAGCCAGCGCAACCGCAGCGACGUUCCAUGACGUGGUGCUAGCGAACUGAAUUCUCGUGCGGACUUACCCGCUCAUCCAUCCCCGGGAAGAGGGCCAGGAGCGCAGCGAUAGUAGUUGGUGGGACCGCAUGCACGCCGGACCCGCUGGCGACGAACGGGACGCAACGAGCUGGGCUCGCUGCUGUCCGUGUCCGCUUGCCGCCGAAGCCCGCCCGGUCGAAGCCCUCAGUGGCCUCGCCCUCGUCAAAAUGUCGCUUCGCCAGGAGAGGAGAGUUUACAACUCCAAGGACAGACAUCGCACGAAUACAACGGGGUUUCGCGAGCGGAGGGGGGCGUCCCCGUCCUAGCCCCUAGCAACCUAUAAUAGCCUACGUCUGACUGCAGAGGUGGCGUGCGUUGUUGCCAGGGAGUAGGAGGCUGCCAACCUCGCCGCUAGCAAGAGAUUUCUACCCUGAUUGCGUAGUCGCUGGCACAGCAAACGGUGUAGGAAGAGAGGUUCAAGAAUAAUACUGGAUAAUGAACAGGUGCUUGGUGGCGCGCCGACCUGUGCUGUGGCAUUGGCUGUGCGCCAAAUGAGGCGAGGCGCACCCGCUUGGCGAGGCCCGAAGCCCCCGACUCCCGAGCCCCCCGUGCCAGCCCCCCCCCCCCCCCCGCCCAAAUCCCUCUUGCGGACACAUGACCCCUUCACUCCUUGCUUGUGCUUAAAGUGAUAUGAUUCCAGCUGCGUUCCAACCUUAUGGCUGAGCGGCCAGUUAAAAAGCAUUACCUGGAGUCGGGAUUCCAGGCCUAGCACGGCCCAAGGCAUUACUGUACGCAGCAUUCACCACCUGCAUCUGGACCCCUAAAUGUUCUCCCAAACCAAAUUACCAGUCGCCACUCCGAACAACACGGAUACCGUAUUGACUGGCAGCAGCCCCGGCCAACCAGCAUCGUAUCUGCAACGCACGAGUGCCCGUGCAGCCAUGAUGGACACCUGCCCACCAUCUGUCAACUCGCAACUAGUUGGUAGCCCCCAACGGCAUGCCAGUAAAGCUCACGUACAGCAGCAAGACAUGGCAUUGACUAAAUUAUCCUGCAGUAACACAUGGAUAUGCGCACAAGACCAGUCUCAUGCUCCUGCCUGAGCUGCCGCACUCGUCGUCAGGCGGUUCAAAUGCACGGUACAACCUGUGCCAAUGCCGAAGAGCCACACCUACGACGCAUGCCGCAUCUCCGUGCCGCGUCACAGGUCCUUACUUGGGUGCUGAGCGCAGUCGCUUAGACGCCCGGAAGCGCGCCGUGAAGAGCUGCGCCACCAGAGCCGGGUGCGCCGCCGCCAGCUGCUCCACCUGCGCCUCCGGAAUGUCCUCUUCCAUUUCCGCCGCACUGCUGAUGAGCCCCGUCAGCAGCUCCGCCUGCCCCUGGCCCUCCGCCAGACCCGCUGCCCACAUCAGGUCCGCCAUGACGGUAGUCGGAGACAGGGUGGCAAGCAGGUGCGCUCGCAGCAGCCCUGCCGCCUUGGGCAGCAGCAGCCGGUCCGCCAGCGCUAGGCAGCGCCACGCCUGCUCCCGGGAAGCCACACGAAGCUCCCCGCCGUACAUGAAGCGCAGCAGUGCCGCCAGCGCGUCCGGGUCGGUGUCCGGCAGGUGCAGCUCGCGCGUGUUGCUGUCGCCCAGCCCGCUGGCAAAGUGCGUGGCGAAGUAGGGGCAGCGCGCGGCCAAGAUGGCGCGGUGCACGGGGAAGCGGCGGCUGCACUCGGCACCCCCAGCCACCGCGCUGCUCGUUUCACCGCUGUCCCCCGGUGCCGCUGAUGCCGUGGCACUGAUGGUGAGGUCAGAUGUGGGGUGGGGGUCUUCGAGCAGCGCAAGGAAGUCGCUGCUAAGCUCGCUCAUGGCGCUAGCAGCCUGCGUGCCACCGUCGCCACUGCCGCCGCCGCUGCUACUGGUGCUGCUGAUGGUGGCUGGGUAGCUGCUGCCAUCACGUGGGUCCGACUGGCCCGCCGCUGCCGGCGCCUGCUGGUACUCCAGGUCCAGGCGGAUGAGCAAAGCACCGUCAUGCGCACGCAAGAAGCCGGAGGCAGGCGUGAAAAGCUUCUUCAGGGGCAGCAACUUGUCCCAGCCCCAGCCCCGGUGCUCGUUUUCCUUGAAGGUCGUGAAUGUAUGGUCUGUGUGGCGAUGGCAAGGCGGAAAUGAUGACAAGAGGAAGUGCUGAAGAGAAGAAUCGCGCACUGCAUGGUGGCUAGCAUGGUGGGCUAGUCACGGGAUCCCUGACCUUUCGUGCAGAAGGAGGCUUCGGAGUUCACCCAGUUCUGUAUAGUGAAGUUGAACUUGGUGGGUGGCGGUGGCACGGUGCCGUUGCUGCCAUCUCCCUGGGCUCGCAGGAACACGGACAGGUGCGUGAGAGGCUCCGUGGUAAAGCCAGGGUAAAGCUCCAGCCGCCUGCACGUAAGGAUAUAGGCACGACACAGUCAUCAAAGAAUGAAUUGUCUGUCUGACUGCAAGUAUAACAUAGCCAGCAGCCGAGCUUUGUUCGUCUGAAGCAAGGUGUCAGGGGACAGGGGACAGAAAGCGCGGGUCAACGACGCCGGGGCGCACCAUGUGUGACCGCCCAGCGUAAACGGUGGAGAGUCCUUGCUGCCGCUUAGCCCGCUGAAAUCCUUCACGAGCCACUGCAAAUGGUAGAGUAGCGAACGCAAGGCAUGAUCAAAUCGGGCAGCUCUGGGUUGGUGGACAGCUGGCACGGGCUUUACAUCGCACCUCCUGGGAGUACAUGUUUCGGCCGCAGCUUUGACGCUGAGUGCUGAAAGGAGCUGAGGAAUGCUCCUCCCAGCCUCUACGCUGGUCGCGUUUCUUUGCAAUGGACCCCAACGGUGACCCCUGGGUCGAAUGGUUGAAACGUCGCCGUGGCUGCUUUUAAAAGGCGGCCAUGGUCGCGUCCAAGAACGGGGCAUCCGCACGUCCUCGCAGCAGCAGCCUGCAGGCACCCAAGCAGCCUGCACCCAGCAGCCUGCACCCAGAAAGGCGACCUACUUGUAGGGUGUUGUCCACCGCAAGUGGAGAGUGCCGGCCCAGCGAAAUGUUCCCAUCGUCUCAUACACCCAACCCACACCACCCCAACCAUUCCCCUUGCGCUUUCCUAACACGCAAACACGAGGCAUCACGGUGUCUUGGGCUCACAUGCCCACUUAAACACAACCCUUCUGUAAGGAAGUAACCAUACAUUGCGUACCUCCGCACCCAAACACACAGUCUGCACCCAAAACACACAGACAAAGGCAAACAUCCGCCAACGAAGUCCCACUGGCCCUGAUCGCUGCAUCCCCGGAGGCCUUACAGGUCCGCAUACGGGUCAGUGGCGAGCGACCACAGCGGCUUGGCCGCCGCCCCGCCCUUCUUGCCCUUCGAGUCGCCCGCCGCGCCGCCUGACCGCUUGCGCACGCCGCCGCCCUUGGCGCCUAGCGCCCCGUCCUCAUCAUCCUGUGCGCGGGGCGGGGUGGGGUAGAAGCAGACGCGAGAAUGUUGAGGCAGGACAAGUCAGCAAGGGCAGCAGGAUGGCAUACAGGCUGGGCGGCGUGCGGGCUGUGAAACCAUAAUGCAUAGUAGCGCCGCUAUCUCCAGCCGCGAUGAGACAACAACCCGGUCAUUCUCACUUCCGAAGUGGGGACGCCCCCAUCUCAGCCGAGUCUGCACACCACUCAGCCACCCACCUUGCUGCGGCUGGUCCGCCGGGCCCCGGCCAGCUUGCCCCGGCCCCUGCCUCCGCGCUCCUCGCGCCCGCCCCGGCCUUUCUCCUUCUUCUUGCCGCCGCCGCCAAUGGGCGUCAGCUGGCCGGCCUUCACAGCAGCCUCCCACUCCUGCACGGAGAAGAGCAGGCUUAUCAGAAACUCCAGCGCAGGAUGCAGCAACCAGCCAAGGCAGGGGUUAGCGAUACGCCGCGGUCCGACCUGACGUAACCCAAGCCCUUUAGGUUCCACCACGGACUUCCAUAACAAUUGUUACCAACGCAUCAGCAUAUCCGCAUGAAGGCUUCCCCCCUGUCUCACCCCACCGCCUCACCACCGCCUCACCCACACCCCGACCCUGCCUCUCGCCCAGUGAAAUCCCUGGUACAGGUACAGCACCGUCGCCGCGUCUGCCUCUGCCCUGGCCCCUGACUCUUCACCACCCCUGCCUCCCUUCACCACUCCUGCCUCCCCUCACCCUGUGGAACUUCUGGUACAGGUACAGGGCUGCGCGGGCGUCAUCCACCGGCGUGUGCUCGCCCUGCUGUAUGGCCAGGCCCAGGUGCGUGGCAGCUAGGUCCUGAGAGGUGGGGUGGGGGGCGAGAGAGAGUGGGAGAGGAGGGCGUGGCAGGGAUGGGUAGGGAGUGACAGGGAUGGGUAGGGAUGGGUAGGGAUGGGGCAGAAGGGAGCAGGGAAGGGGAGAUGGCGGGGAGAAGGAGAGGAGGCAUGAGAUGGCGGGUUGGGGACAGGUGGUUUGCGGCAGGCACACGCCUUGCGCCCUCGUGUGCAUCCGACCCAAUCAACCCCUCUUUGGCACGUGAGCAAAGCUCCCACACGCACGCACCUUACAAACCACAUUCCAAACCCCACGCUAAAGCAAGCCCCCUUUGCAUGGACGGCUGCACGCCCCAUCCUGCCCCUCACCUUGAGCGAUGCCGACACUUUGCGGCCGUUGGGCAGUGUCUUCAUCAGGCCCGGCCACUUGCUGGUGUCGCGCAGGUGGGUGCGCGGGUGGUCCUCCAGCCGCAGCGCUUUGAGGUCGUGCCCGAUGGCGUGCCCCACCAGCACACGGCCCCGCACCAUGUCGCCCACCUGGGGAUUGGGUGUGCAGGGUGAUGGUUGGGGGUUGGGGAGGUGGUUGGGGAUGGUGGUUGGGGAGGUGGUUGGAGAUGUGGGGGCGGAGUGUGCGGGAAGGUGGUUGGGUAUGAGGUGAGGAUGAGGAUGAGGUGCUGCCGCGUGCCAAACCCAGACCCCUUUCUUCCCCCUGUCUGCGAACCAUUUCAUCCGCGCCCCCACCCACCUGCUGCACCACCUCGUCGUACGGCCGCCCGCGCGCCACGUCCUCCGGCCGCACGCCCGACACCCAGGUCCUGCAGCGGCGGGGGUGCGGUUGCAAUUACCAGCCCAAACUAAACCACACCAAGCUAAGCUAGCGGAGUACAGGCAGGGGCGUUAGUCGCAAGCGAUAAUACUUUGGGGGGAGAAGGCCCCGACUACGACACGGCGAUGAUGGCGGCGGUGCAUGGGACUGCUCAUGACCUGAUUGCCCACGGGAGCAGCCUGUUGACUCCUCCCUGGCCCACGUCCCUGACCAGAGACACGGCGACACUUCCUCCGCCACCAUUACAGCUCCGCCUUCGCCUCCGCCCACAAUCCGCACCCCCCUGCCCCACACCCCGCACCACCCUGCCCCACACCCCGCGCCUGCCUGCCCCGCACCUCGCCCCACACCCCGCGCCCCCCUGCCCCACACCCCGUGCCCGCCCCCCCCCCGGCCCCACGCCCCACGCCGCCCCUCACCUGUAGUCAGUCACCGGCUCGUUGGGCCGCACGAAUGUGUCCAGCAGCACCGCCCCCGCGCCGUUGACCAGGCACACACGCGCCAGCGCGCUCACGGAGCCGUUGGGGCCCGUGCCCACCAUCUCGCAAUCCAGGGCCAGAACCUGUGCGUGUGUAGUAUGAAGCGGAUAGUAUUAAGGCAACAAGGUAUAAGUACUUAAGGUGUGAAGCUAAGCCGAAGCCGAAAGCCAGCCUCGGUGUCAGCCGUUGUCAAACACGCUCCCGCCUUCCUGGACGUACAAGCGCUUGAGGGCUUUCCCAUCUGGUACGCUCUCGCCUUGAUACAUUAUGCAACGCACCUUUGUAAGCCCCGUCUCCGUGCCAACCAGCCCAGGACGCCGUGCACCUGCCGCUGCGGCGGCCGCCGCCGCCGCUCCCUUGCUGCCAUCCGCCUCUGCUGCCUCCGCCGCCGCCGCGGCCGCAGACUUCUUCUUCGCCAACCGCCGCUGCACGUGCUCCGGCGGCGGUGGGCGCUUCGCAGCCGCCACCACCUUCUCUCGCAUGGCCUCCCAAUUGGAGUUUACGGGUGACUUGCCCUUUUGCUUCGGAGCCUUGUCCGCGGCGUUUUGCCCCGCAGCAUCCGUCGCGCCGCCCGGCGCAGCGGCGUCAGCGACGGCGGCGGCGGCCUUGGCUGUGGCGGUGGCGGCCCCUGCCGCGGCAGACGCAGCAGCAGCGGAGGCAGUCGCUGCAGCCGCUGCCGCGGCGGCUGCGGCGCCGGCAGCGGCCGCGCCCUUCCCCUUGGGCUUCGCGCCCUUGCCGGCGCCCUGAGGCGCAGCAGCAGCACCCGGCGCCGUCACUGCAGCGGCAGCGGGAGCAUCGUCGGUGCCAUUCGCCACCACCCCAGCCACGGCAUCCGCAAUCUCAGCGUCUGUCUUGGUGCGCUUCGGGGCCGGCGUGUCGCCGUCACCGCCCGCACCACGCUUCUUAUCGAAACGCCCGCCACCACGGCCGCCAAAGCCGCCGCCGCCACGGCCCCGGCCGCCAAAGUCCCCGCCGCCGCGUCCCCGGCCACGAAAGCCGCCGCCGCCGCCCCGGCUUCCGCCCCGGCCUGCGAAGCCGCCACCGCGGCCACCCUCACUGCUCCCGCGGCCACGGCCGCCAUCGCCUCGGCCACCCCUGCCUCCAUCCCGGUCGCCGCCCCGGCCCAGGCUUCUGCCGCCGCGCCCGCCGCUGCGCCCGCGCUCGCCACCGCCGCCGCCGCGGCUGCCGCUGCGGCCACGGCCACCGCCGCCACGGCCGCCACCACGCCCCCGGUCGCUCAUAGCCAAGCCUGUCGUGCGGCUCUGCGGCUGAUGUAUCUCCUACAACGCUACUGCUAAGGCUUCUGACGCGCUCCUCUGCUCCCUUGCUACAGCCGAUUUUAUAGCAGCUCCUGUUACUGCCGCGACUGCUGCAACCGCUGCUACUGCUGCUUUGACGGCGCCUCCUGUAGCUUGGCUAGCUCGUCUGCGGCGGGACAACAGGUGUGCCGACAAUGGAGAGCAACGGGUCACAUGCGGUAAGUUCGCGCCAGGGAAGGGCGUAGCAUGCAGAAGUAAAGCUCCCCACAUGUCCAUUGCCACAGCCGCAAGCACCGCUCCCGCAAUGCCCUCCAUAGCCACCACCACAACCUGCGGCUGUCCUUGGCGACCACAACGACCCCGGCAUUGCCCCUUUCAUCAUUCCCUUUCCAGUUCCCACCAUCUACCUUUCCACCAUCUACCUCCCUCGAGCUACCCCAGCCCCAUGUCCCCUGCACGCGCUGCCGCCGCCGCACGUACCCGUCGCCCUGGCCAGCUGCUCGUCACGUGAGGAUAGCAGGAACACGCCGCCGCUGCGUGCGUACACCGCCUGUGGAAAUGGCAGUUGGCGUCGCAGUGGCAGUGGCAGGCACAGGUGCAAACACAUGCACACAGAGUCAGAGUCAUAGGUAAAAAUAUGCACACAUGUGCAGAGGCGGAGGGGGGGGGGGGUUGGCGGGGGUUGGCGGGGUGUGGCGACACCGACAAGUAGAUGGUGGGCCGCUGCUGGAAGACUGGGAGGGCAAGAAGCAGGAUGGCUAAGCAGCAAGGCAGGCAGGGUGUGUAACCCACCCGUCCGGGUUUGAGGCUUUUGAGCUCUGCCGCCGUCACCAGUGCCUGGCGGACCUGCAGCGCAGCCGGGGUCAACCGUGGAGUCCCACCCAGAGGUAAGCAGCGGGCGACCUGCCCUGCCCUCACACAAGCUCUAUAUGCGUCCAUUUUCAAUUGUGCAUGCAAACUCGCGUGCGCGGUCGCCUUGCGAAAAGGUUGCAACGAGAAACUUCAUGUCGCGGCGGCGUCGCAUGCCUUCCAAAUCACAGUAUUAAGAGUGCGGUAGUCUAACGGCACAUUACGCAUUGUUUUACCUGAAGCGGGUCUGGCUGGGGCUGCUCUCCGCCGUUGGCUGCUGAAGGUCCCUCGCUCCGAGUGCGCGUAUUCCUUGCAGGCUCGGCACUCAUCGAUAGCUUACUGCUCACUAGAGUUAUAGCAAUAAGAACUAAGCGUAAUUAUCGCGCAGGAAGAACCAGUUACUUUGCCAUGCACACAAAAGCCUGGUCAACGCAACAUAUAUUAGGAGUCGUGUGAGAACGGUAUAUGGAGCAUGAGCAUGUCAGCGGUUGCGGGCCCCAGCCCCUCGCCACGCCCGAGCCCGAUGCUGGCGCGUUGAGGCCCAUGCGCACACUCGUUGCCCUCUGCCUCGUCAAGUGCGCCAACCCUUCACUUUGCGUUGCCAGGCGGCCACCACGAGCAGUCCCUCCCCAUCCUCGCUAUUCCGCUCGCUGGGACACGACUGGCGGCUACCUCGCGGCCGCACGAUCUGCCACCUCUGUCAGGGGGAAAAACGAAGUGUCUCAGUGCCAGACCCCAUGCCCCAAAAUCCCCAGGGACGACUGAACCCCCCCGGGCAAAACCUUGUCGUUCAGGAGGUAAAACCUCUUUAUUGAAUCCAAAGUGUUGCCCAAUCUACUCCUCUUCACGAGCGCUGUCACGCUGAGCCAUGGGCGAUCCUGUUCUGAGACUGCAGCCACACGCGUCAUUAACGCGGGAUUGUAUCCAAGGAAAUACCCCCAGCCCAGCCCAUCCCGCGUUCAACUCUCCAUACCGUAGUGUGCUGCAUGGAAAGCGUGCAUUUGCAGCGCUGCUCAAGAUAAAUGCAUGCGUACCAGAGCUUGAGAGCCCCGCCAUGUCAGUGCGCAUAUGUCGAGUGUGGGGACACAUGUCGACACGUCCACGCCAGGGCGUGCAAAUUGGCCGUCCCAUGCUUUGUUUGUGCUUGUUGCGGCAUAACAUGUGUGUGGGCACGCUGGUUGCGGCUUAUGAUGCGCUGGACGAAGUGCGGACCCGCCUCCUUGAUUGGCGUAGCGGUGACUGCAUGGUUUCGUACUGCACGAAGGUGUGGCGAAAGGUGCUGCAGGACCGGUGGGACCGCCGUCGCCGGUGGCCGCGGCCACCCGCUUUGCGGCGGCUGUCGCCCUGUUGCCCGCGGGUUGGAGGAGGCUGCGCGCGCUGCUCGGCCGGCUCGUAGUUUUCGCUGACACGCAGUCCUCACGCUCCGGGCGCGGGGCGCCUGGCCAAGGCGAUAGCACCACACAGACUGAAGCAACUUCGACACGCCUGCGCAGCUGUGAGUUGGGUGGCGGUUGGCUGCGCUCUUUGGGGCGGUGGUUCCCUGUGCCGAAGACGGUGUUUACACCGUCCCCUGCUUGUAAUCCGCAAUAGUAACGACUGGUCGAUUUUGCAUUCGCAUUUCGUUAGCUAAUCUCCUGAGCACACUUCCAAUCCUGCAACAACAUUAAACCACAUCGCAUAUAUGUCCGGACCGCGGGAAAUCAACGCAACGCAGCACGUGAGCCGGGCGGGGUAGAACUAGGCUGCGGAAAUGCUCACCAACCAGCCCACAGAUGCAGGUCCGGCAACACGCAGGUCAUACCAUUGUUCGCAUUGCGAUACCGCACUACCAAGUCAUCCACGAUCAGACAAGAAAGGCGGUUGCCCCAAUGGGGAAAAGUGAGCUGAGCCCACACCGCGUGUACUCGUCUGAGGCCGAAGGUUCCGAAGCAUGCCUCAUCUCCCAGACAUAGCUGGGGUCGGUUUGCACAGGCACCGCCCGCCAAGAAAUGUCCAGCUAUCACGUCCAACCACCUUCAACAUGAUCAGAAAAACAUUACGGCGUAUGCUUGGAAAUGCUUCCACCGCACACGGCAAUACACCAGGCCAUAAAUCCUACACACUCCCUCUCUCUCUUGCACACACGAGCACACACAUACACUUGGCAAUACACCCCCACAUUCUACAACACAAAAAGCUCAUGCAAGCCAAGGCUGGGUACAAAAGUCGUAGCAGCGGUUGUGCAUAAACUGCAUGCGGUGAACUGUUUGAGCAUGCAUAGGUCGACAGUGAGCAAUUUGGCACACAAACACAGCUUGGCAGCGGCCCAACGCUCCAAAGAGACACACCACGAACAUAGCACUCGACCGAAUGCUAUGAAUGCAUACUCCUGCACAGUCUCCGAAAUCAUUAUUGAAUUCGGAGCAUUUAAAAGCACACUCUACUACAUGGUGGCGCACAACCCGCACGGCCGUACCCAAUGCUUUGGUAAUGGCUUGCUUGCUUCUGGUUUCUGGAGUACACUACCCCCCCCCCCCCCCACACACACACUCACUAACACGCACCCACACGCACGCACCCACACAUAAGUGUUGCCGCCUGCCUCCCGACGUGUGCGUCCACAGUGAGCAGUCAGCCAACGCAGUCCCUUCAUGUGUCAAGGCGUCUAUGUUCUGUUUACGGCAGUUCAGUUGUGAUUUAGUUUAUUCACUCCACUAGAUUCUUAUUUAACCCCAUCGCCUGCCACUGUCUGUCAUAACUAACGCAUUUCCAAAUGAACCUGACACACAUGACAACCGCAGCUGAACCCCCACCUGCGGCCCUCUUCUCUUCUGCUGCCGCGGCCGCGCCCAUUGCCAUCCAAUGGGCAACGCUGCCACUGCUCCCGCCGCUGCUAAAGCACCAACCAGGCCUGCUGGCCACAAUGCAUGGGGCAGUCAGUGGCCGCUAAACCGCCACCCCCAUCCCCCUGCAGAUCGCCCCCCCCCCUGAUACAUCGCCGUGCAGGGCUGUCUUGCCCCACAAGCCUCAGCGGUGCACUGCAGGUGCACAGCUCAAUCCCCUGUAACGCCGAACACUAUUUCAGCCGCCGAUAUGGGUGCUGGGGCCGAGGCACUAACGCCCCCAACUACCUGAUGACGCCAACGCAUACAGCGGCCCACGCCCGGGUGCCCAGCAUUGCCAGGGCCGCCGUAGGCGCCACAAGCCGUCCCUCACGUGGAGGCCCCGUUGUUGUCCUUCUCGAUGAUGGAGGUUUCGUCCUGAAAACACCGCCACCAUGUCAUGCCAUGGGGAAGGAGCACGAGUGCACAACACGCAGUGUCAACCUGCUUGCGGUACAGCGAGAUGCUGCUUGCUGGGCUUGGUUGACAGCAUUUUCCUCGCAUGGAGUUGCGCCCGAACCUUCAACCCGCAACCCGGACCGCUUAGUUCAUGAUUAGCGGCCCGUGGUGAAGCGCAAUUUGAACGCUGUGCGAAGUGCGUGUCUUCACUGAGCACAAGUUCGCUCACCUCCUCCUCGAUGUGGCACGGCACGUCCACGCCCGCCGCGAAGCAGGCCAGGCCCGCCACUGUGGGCCCGUUGUGCACGGCCCUGAUCAGAAUCAGCCCCUUCGCCGGGUUGAACGUGUGAAUAUCGUUGCUGGUGUCGGCGAAGAUGGCCUCCAGGUUGUUGGCCAGGCUGUCCACUGUCAAGCAACCAGGCAACGAUGGGAGUAGAGUGGAAUGGGGUUGGAAGGAUACUUGGCGAAGUGGUAGAGAGGGGUGGGGUGGGUACGAGCACCAGCCCAAGCCAUACCCACACCAAGCAAAUCGUGCCAGCGGUUUGCAGGGCGCGGUAACUGAUGCAGGGCAAGGGGCACAUCGCCGUGGAACACAGGAUGAACUGCACUGUAAAUUGCAUUCGCUGACCAAGCUCGGUUGCCCGCAUAUCAGCACGUUCACGCGCUGGUAACCCGUAUAACCAACCGCAUUACCUGGCGAUCAGACAAGCGACCCCCACGGCAAGCAGGAAGCGCCAGGCCGGCCGACAGCAGCAUGCGGCAAGAGGCAAAGGAGCAAGAGUCAAAAUGGCUAGUUCAGGGGGCAAGGCACGCCAGUGGAAGGAACAGACAAGCGGGACGUAGGCAUAACGCCAGCACUAUGGGCAAGGGGCGGAGUGCAUCAGAGGGUGGUCAGCGGGGCAGCAACAUUACGGUAACUGGAGUUGGGCGGUGUGAGUAACUGUGUUGCAAGGGCUUAUGAGUUCAGGUGGAUAGCUGUCAUGCUCGAAGAUAGCGGCGCAAUGCACACGACCUCUGCCAGCACACGUCAUGUCACGCACCCUGCUUCUCCUCGUGCAUGCCGGCGGGCGCCCAGCUGGGCACGUCCCGCAGCAGGCACGCCACCAGCUUCGGGCGCUCCUUCAGCCCGUCCUUGAAGACGUCCACGCGCUUCUUGUUCUGGCCGCCGAUCUGCUCCAUCCUCCACAUCUUGACCACGUGCUCUGCGGCAGCAGCCCCGGCGGCAAAGCACAUCGUCGGACUGGACCGACAUAAGCACACACGCAUGCACAAUUGCACAUACACACAACUUUCCCCGAAUGAUGCCCCUGUGGGCCCUGCCUUGGGUGACCCACCCAGGAAGGAGUGGGCGUUGACCACGCCCGCAGCCCAAAGCGUGGCCACAAGCAGUUGCUGGGUCCUGGCCAGUUUCGCAGUCUUGUCCAUGUUGUCCUUGGCCAGGGCCGUCACCUUGGCCUCCUUCUCCUUGGCCAGGGCCGCCACCUCCUUGGCCAGGGCCGCCACCUGUGGGGAGUGACCCGCAAUUAGUCAUACAAGGGAUGUACAGCGCGCACGCACAAGGUCAUGCAGAGGUCAUGAGAAAAAAAGCAGGGGUGCCAGGGACGAGAGGCAACCCCCCUUCCGUGAACUGUCAUUUGGUACCGACAGAGGUCCCGUCGUCGUGGAACUGACACCUGCCGCACAUCACCCCUGGAACUGACCCCAGUCCAUCCGUCGACGCGUGCUUGACCCGUAGAUCUAGACGUGAGGCUCGCAAAUUACCUGCGCCUGUAGCCUCACGAUUGCCUCAUACAACAUCGGGCGAAGCUUGGCCGGAGCCUUGCCAACAAGCGUGACGAUAUCGUCGAUGCUUGGGUCGGCAGCAGCAAACACCAACACUGAGCGAGCCGGCCGGCCGAUCCCUACAUAAGCAGCGUAGAGCGCUCUCAGAAUCUCGCAAGCACAACCAAGGGAAGCAGCAAAGCGCACAAUCUGGCUCGUGCGGUCCAGUCCUAGGACUUACAUUACGAUGUGUAUUUAUCGGGCGUGGCCACAUAAGCUAAAAGCUGCUGAGCCUUGCGCUUAAGGGAAAGAUCCUACAAUGUAUAUAUUGCUCCUUCGUGCCGCCUCGUUCUAAGCGCAUGGUAAUCAACUCACUGGGCGCAGCAGCAGACGGAUGCCUCCUGGCCUUGGCAGGGGUCACCACAGCGCAAGCAGCGCGCGCAUCGACAGGCCGCUGCAGGGCCGCAUUGGCGCGGCUGGCGCUAAAGCACAGCAUAUUCAGUAGGUCUGGUGCCUUGUGAAAAGAUGACAGAGGUAGAAGAUGACUACAGGUGAGGUCGGUUCUGAAGAACAAAUUGCGAUUGAAAGGCUGCGGAAAACGAUAGAGGAUGAUGGGCACGCCGCUGUUUUAACUCGGAAUAUGAGGCUGGCUUUGAAGCUGACUGGCAAUUCAGGUGCGGGAGGUUGACGUCAAUUUGUCAUGGGGCGUCACGCAUGAUGGCAUACCCGCAUCAUCCCGACCCCGCCUUCAUCCUGGGCCACACAAUGCCGCUAUUAAAAGGGGCACGGCAUCAGGAGGCCUCGUGGCGUGUCUCUGCCGAUGCGUGUUGGGCGUUCCCCCUGCGUGCCCGUGAACGUGCCGACGGCGUCGUCCUUGUAUGCCAAGCAUGUCGUGCGGACACGAUGUUGGGGGAUCGGCGGCAUUACUACUGGGACUGUGUCGUGGCUUGUGGCCUGCGUGAGUCCAUGGGCAUGGCGAUGGGGGCACAUCCGGAGGACUCGCUGGGCGUGUGUGCGCGCUCUUACUUGUGGCUGGUGCCAGCUGGUGCGGGCCAGUAUGGGAUGUGGUACUGUGUCGGUGGGGACCUAUUGCGGACACGGUCAUUCCAUGGACAGGCAGUGGUGCGAUGCCUGCGUCAGCUCCGUGGCGUGUGCUGUGGGAGUGUGAGAAUGUGAGGCGGGCGCAGACGUCUCUGCUAACUGCACUCGACUCAUGCAUCGGGCUCAUUGCGCGCUGGCAGAUACAUUAGUGCGGGCGACGCCUGAGGCGUCGGCCCGCGGAACGUACCUUCAUACACUUACCAGACUAGAAGGAUCGACCACCAUCCUGCUCUCUUUCUAGGCUAGGAGUGGAAGGGGCGCAGCCGGGGGCCGUUGUAACACACAUUGACACUGCAAAGCGGGCCUGCCUCUCUUUCCCCUGGCGUUCCGGUAGCUACACUCCAACAGCCAUUCGCCCUAGUUUGGCAUGUUCAGCCGAGCUGGCCAGCACACAGUUCUCGCGCGGCGUUUUGUGAGUUCUGUGAGAUAUCUGGAGCGGAGUGGCGGGCCCCCACCGGCCGUGCGCGUUUGCCAGCGUGUGCAUAGCCAGGUGCCACUCGCGCGAGAUUGACUUUCCGCGGGCCCAGGGAUUGCUACGGUCACCGCUCGUGGAGCUCCAUCGCCAGCGACAUCUUCUUCACCAUCACCUCGCCGCGGUCCCUGAUGAUUACAAUAUCGCGAGCAGCUGGUGUGGAUGGCUUUUAUGAGUAGGGCUGAGUGUCCUGACCAGUCACAUGACACCGGGCUGACUUGUUUAUGUGAGCGUUCCAUAGUUCAAUCAGCAUACAAGACAUUCAUUGCUGCAUACUCUUCGGCCUAACGCAACUCGCUGGCAGUCGUCAACUCUCUCGCCGGGCACAAACUCAUUCCUGUGUUAUUCUGCUGUCAGCUUCGCAUCAGGUCAUCGCUGUAUGUGGUCUUGUAUCUCGAGGACGCUUUUGGACUACUGCGAGUGUGAGCAUGGCGAGCAGCGAGGUUCGUGUAUCUCGCAUGUGCAUGUCGAUGGCGGGCGCUGGAGUGGGGAGUAGUGUACUGGAUUCGUGCAGGGGGGGCUCAGUCAGUUGCUUUGUUGUGUGUGUGGCGAUGUGCGUGUGUGCCGUCUGUGCACUGGUGUGGCAUCUUCCGUGGCAAUUACCGCCUGGGUUCAGGGAGUGGUGCCUUUGUGACUCGUGGCUGUUGCAAGGGCUUCAGUGAGGGUUUCGGACGGUUUGCCCUCACGCACUUGUGCAGCGUGGCGCUGAUGCGUUGUUGCGAGGUGACUGGCAUGGCAUACAGGCCACUGGGCCAACACUUCAACCAUGCCGUGGCCUGCAGCCCCGGACAUGAUUGUGGGGGGGGGGGACUUCCCACCCCGGUGGCAGCGCUUUACCAGAACUGGGUUGGGGCCCGUCAUGCCUGGCUGCGUUGUCUGCUAUGGACCUUGGGCGGCAACGGAUUAUGGUGGCCGGGCAAGGGUUGCCCGCCGCGGCCGCGCUUCUGUCUGGCCGUGUGUGGGCUAUCGGACUGGAGGUUGUGGCUGACUUCUGGGGCGGUUGCAGGCGUUAGCUAGUUUGGGCGCGCGCCCUGGUGGCUGGGACACUGUCCCCUAUGGGCACGUGUUCCUGUCUCGGGGGGCCGACGACCGCACUGUUGUCGUGUUGCCGUAUGACGCUGAUUCUCACCCCCCGUCUCCUUGAUGGGUGUUGGGCGUAUUGGACAGCGCGGCACGUCGUGAGCGCGGUGCCCGUGGCUACUGGCCGUGUGUGCUGGCCCGGCGGUGUGCUGCCGUGACUGUAAGUGCGCGUAGGUAUUGGUGUAGCGAUGCCUUAUGAGCCGCGUAUCUUGUGAUGCUGUGUCUGGUGUGGCUCUGGCGGGCGUUUGCUUAGCUUCGACACGCUUACGCAGAUGUAAGUUGGGUCGGCAGCCGAGCAGGGGCGCGGUUCCCUUUCUUGUCCACUCAUCACUUUGCAGUUACCGGUACUACCCUGAUCGAAACAAUGAAAGCGGAUCCUGAACGCUCUCGUCAAGCUCUAUCCAUUUUGGGGCUGGGGUACAACAAGGGGUGUCAGCUUUGUACAGCUGGAAAAUGGGCUGAGCCCCAUGUAGCGCAAGGGAUGUGACGAUGGGCACCGGCGACAUGAACAGCACCCUUGCAUGCCCAUCCAGCGGGACUGGCCACUAUGCCAACGCCGUGCCGAGGCACCGACAUGCCCUGUCCCCGCCACGCCACGCCACCUUACCCACGCCACUUCACGGUCCAUGAUAUCCCAAAUGCACCUCACCCACAUCCCACUCAAGCACCGCAAACGGCUAGCCGGGCUCGGGCGCGGGCUCCCGGGCCGCGACACAUUUAAGGCUCGGGGACGCAUGGUUUGGCUGUUGCAAACAAUUUCGACAUUCUUGCCCCAAGACGCUUGUCGUCGACAUGUUUUGAUACAUGGAUGUAAGAUAUUUAGGGGCCGAGAGCUAUACUCGCGGACUGAAGAAAGUCAAGAUGUCCAUGGACUCACGAGGUCGCUUCUCGCUCCGGCCGAGUUUUCCCUGCCGCCUAUUUUUCUACAAUAGGGAAUAGCAAUUAAUAAUACGUGGCACUCGCGGUUUGCGCCAGUUUGGCACUUUUUGUCGACGCAGGCAGGCACACACGCACGCACGCACGCACGGACAGGGGCAAUCCUGGGGGGCUUCGCCCCCCCCUGGAUCGCUUCGCUCGGGGGGCUCAGCCCAAAAAUGUAGAUCUUACCCCCGCCCCUGUCUGCCACGGCAUAAAUCCAACCAUGUUUGCAAAGGAGAUUCCGGGACACCGGAGCAUACAUGUAACGAAACAUGAUGAAGUAUAUCGUGAAGCGUGUUCAUGGUCAUGUAAAGACUCGUCAAUAAGUGGCGCCUGAAGGAGGCCACGAAGCUCUUGGACAUGUGCGACAGCGACUGAGGGCCAGCUGUGCGGAAGUCAUGUGCAGCUCCCAGCUUCCACCCACGGUCAGCAUCCAGUCGCCAGUCAGGCCUCACUCCGGCCUCUGCAGCGCCAGUUUUUUCCCACCUGCAGCUAAACCUGCAGCACCUACAGCUGUCCCUGUCCCCUGGUCCCCUGGUCCCAUGUCCCAAAUUUCGCUCCACAGCCUCUGGCAGCAGAUAUAAUUCGCUCUCCAGCACAGACUCUUCCAGCAAACAUCUCACAGUAAAACACUUUGCCAGUCCUUGAAACAUGCCCGAAUCUGAUACCUUAGGGCGCGCUCUCAGCCCCCCUCCCAAAGUCACAGCUUCUCGCCUUAAUGUCAGCUACGCUUCCUCACCUCAUUUUGUGAUGUUGGCGUGUUGCACCGCAUUCGGUCGCCCACCACGCCGUACAUCUCGGGCCCCUUCUUCUGCCUUGUCGCGCCCUGUUACUGCCCUUGCUUUGCACACUGUCGCCCGGCCAUUGUUUUGCUGCACGCCGCUCGCAUUAACUUUACCCUCAGUCUAGCGCUCAUCCGUGGACGCUGGACGCCUGACUGCAGGUGCGACGGUCCCAUCUCUCUCGCGCUGUGUGCGUGGCGUCGCAUUGUGUGUGGUGGAAUUGCCUGGCCGGGCGCCCCGAGCGCGCGUGAGGAAUGCGCAACAGCAAAACGCUCCAGCGACAUCGGCUACCUCAGUCGGUACAGUCACAGCGCGCAAUUUUGUCUCUGCCCCAACUGCUUUUAAUUUGCUGGUAUUAUGGGGGGGGUGGGAUCUUCAGACACUCACGGGAUGCCGCGCAGUUGUUCCCUUGCUUGCAUUACCGACUCGCGGGGACGCUACACAGCUAUUCCCUUGCAUGUAUUACCAACUGUGCGGAAGUCAGGGAUGUUGCUGGCAGCUGUGGGAGAGGCGCAGCGGCGGGCGGAGCUUCGGAUAGCGGUUGCGGUGUGUCAGACAGGGCACGUGCGGAUCUGCCGAACCAACGAGGGCAUGUGUCCUUGCAGUUGCUGCUGCAUUAGGAGUGGCGUGAUUCCGCCUUGUUCCGCCUGGUUUCGGCCUGGUUCCGCCUGGUUCCGCCUUGUUUAGUAGAUUUGGCCGGAUUCUGUCCGGCAGGUUUACUGCGGACCCCAAUAAAUCAAGUAGUGAAGGUCGAUCGGGUGAUUGAAUUAGCGGCUGGUAGACGAGGGCGGUGCAGGUGGCGCACCCCUCAGGUCAAAGCAGAAGCUCGCGACCCGCGUCGGCAGGUCCCUGUUGAAACCAAUGCAUACUGUAUUAGGAAGGUGUCGAAGAACGUAGCGCGGACAGAAUGCUAGGUGGCACGACAGAGGCGGGCCCGUUUCAAUUGAGUGAGGUCCGAAGGAUACGGCCCCAAGAGGCCCCAAGCAUGCAGCAUCUGUGCCUUCCCCUCGCGGUUAUUGGAGUUGCUAGAGAGCUGCGGGGUACAUGGGCUGGUGGUGAAUAUCAGUGCGUGCUUGGCUUGGGCUGGGUUUGUGCCCUACGGUAGGUGUGAACGAACUCUUCACUUCCCGCCAGAGCCCCUCAGAGCCCACCAGAGCCGCAUCCGCAGUUUAGCACACGCCCGUAACAGAGCCCGCCAGAGCCCGCCAGAGCCCGCCAGAGCCCGCCAGAGGCCUAUGAAGAUAAUGCAGAUCCCUCCUGGGGCUGAAACAGCCUAUGUAAAAAGCAGCAGGACAAGGGUGAUACGCACGCACGCACGCACGGACAGGGGUGAUCCGGGGGGAGUAGUUCCAGAAACUCGCUCGCUCGAAACCGAGACGUUGAUUGAGCUCGAAGCCCCUUCACAGUCUACAUACUAGUACUAAUGCGCGCCCGCGCACUAAUUGCCCAGCGCGUGGUGCUCCGAGAUGGCCGCUCGUGUAUGUUGCAGCUUCAUUGACCGCGUCACUCGGCCUAACGCCUGCGUACGUUCCGUACUACAUAGUCAGUGCCGUGCCUGUAUCGGACUUGCUAUGGAAGUGGUGGAAUCAGCGACACCACUGUCGAACGUUAGCAGCCCGCGCGGCCCAUGCGGCCCCACGUCCGCAGCCCCAUCAUAACAACUAGCGGACCGCCAUGCGAUCCAUGGGGCGUGCCCCUAAGGGAGUCAAGUGACAUGGCACCGCAACGUACGGUGUUACAAUGCCGAGCACGAGGGGAGGCGUGUGCAGGUAGUGGCCCUUACUGGCGUAGAGCUGAGGUGAAAGGAGGCUGGUGUAGAAAUGGCGACUGAAGUCUGAGUAUGAUCUGAGUGCCAGAGUCGUAACAAGCGUUGGACCAAAGGUACUGCGGAUGCUGCCGUGCGCACAGCCUCCCGGACCGGUGACCGGGUUGGGGUCGGGGUCGGGGUCGGGGUCGGGGUCGGGGUCGGGGCCCAGCACCUCAUCGGGGAAAUGGAGUCUGGGGAAAUGGGAUCCAAUGGACGCAAAAUCGCUCCAAUGAUAGCAUUCCGUUACAACUCGGAGGGGUGGCAUGGGGUACCGAUCCUACCGAUCCUCUGGUCACCCCAGGAUAGACUGACUUGCUAUCCUUUGUGCCGCGACCUCCAAUCCCAAUCCCUGAGGUCCGGGUUCCAAUCCUCGCCGUUCCUAUCCGAAUCCCUGAAAGCCUGGUUCCAAUCCCUGCCGUCCCAAACCCAAUCCCUCAAAGCCGGGUUCCAAUCCCUGCCGUUCCAAACCCAAUCCCUGAAAGCCGGGUUCCAAUCCUGGUAUCAGUGGCGCCAAUCCUAGUGUUCAGCGCGGGGCCCGUAUCCUUGAAGCCCAGGCCCUGCCAGACGGGCCUGUAUCCUUGAAGCCCAAGCCCUGCCAGACAGUUACAUAAUAAGCCGUAUGGCGGACAAAUAGUAUCCGCCUUUCGAGAGAGUCUAAUGAAGGCGUGGAAGCACGAGCGGCUGCAGUCUGAGCCAAGCACUUUCCCAUCAGACAACAAGCAACCAGGCGUGCAGAUGAGCAAGUACAAGCAUUGGAUGGGGCUGUGUGCGGAAGGAGCGGCACCACUGACCAUGCAAGGGCACAGUAGAGCAUUUAUACCAGUUGCGCACCGCAAGGCCUUGAUGAGGUUCCGCCUAUGCUGCUGGCCGCUUACUGCCAACCGCGCCUAUGGACGACCUAGGGAGGAGAGGAUAUGCCCGCUAUGUGUUGCAAAUGAAGUCGAAGAUGAGAAUCAUGUGCUCAUGCGGUGUACGGCCUACGACCAGUUGCGUUUGGGUAGCGAGAUCGAUUUUACAGGCGGAAUGCAGGCCGUCAUGCAGAAUGCGGACCCAGCCAGGUUAGCCGCGUUACUAGAUUCGCAUUUGGGAGCACAGGAGCAUAAGCACCCCCAUUCGGGGACCAAACUAGCUGCAUAUAUAAGUGUUGCAGGCGUUAUAAGGGCCCCCCGGCCGGAGGGAUGCAGUACCGCUCGCCCAGCCAAAUUCCGGGGGUGUCCCCCGGGCACACAUCCUGAGCCGCGAGAUAUUCUUACCUGGCCCGGCGACAUUCCCAGCCGGCCCGGCCGCAUCCCCAACCUGGCCCGGCCGAAUCCUGACAUGCCCCGGCCGAAUCCCCUACCUGGCCCGGCCGAAUCCCUACCUCCCCCAGCGAAAUCCCCAGCUGCCCCAGCCAAAUCCCCCACCUGGCGCGGCCAAAUCUGCAUUUGCCUAAGUGAACUGCCCUACUUGGCUCGGCCAUAGUGCUUUACCUGUCCACGCUGUAUGCUCCCGGGCCCAGGAGCAUCUCAGGCGCCGUCACCCGCCCCAUCACCCCUUCCCCUAGGCCUACACCCCUAGUCCUACCACCUUCACCACCUACAGACACAAGGCAGUCUCCAUUAUAUCAGGGCAGGUAUUACGGAGGGGCAUGAGCACGCAUGGUCCCGAUCAGCGAGCGAGCGAAUGAAGCAGGGAGGGCGGGGAACUUGAUGUGACUGCUCCCUAAGUUUAGUCGCAUUCCCACAGUAAACUUUUGUUAUGGCAGCAGGGUCAUGCGUGUUUCCGGGCACUGUUCAGGCGCUUGUCAGGAACUGACGAGCCCAAUAUCUCCGUCGCGGUAUUUUAGUGUGCCUUGAUGCUAAAAGGGGUACAGAUGCGGCUUUGUUAUCUAAAUCUACUUCACGCCAGCGCUUUGGUGCUAGGUGGGGAUAAGGAGCCAAUGGCUCCUGGCCGGCACCAACAGCGCUGGAGGUAGCUUAGCCAGCGCUGCAUUUGUCGAUGCUCUCGCGAAGGCACUUCUCGGUCCGCCCGAAUUUUCCCUGCCGUCUAUUUACAUGCAAUAUACAAUAGCAAACAAUAAUACGUAGCAGUCGCGGUUUGCGCCAGUAUGUUACUUUUUGCCGACGCAGGCAGGUACGACGCACGCACGCACGGACAGGGGUGAUCCGGGGGGAGUAGUUCCAGAAACCAAAGCAAACCGACUGAGGGAACCCGAACCGGCCCGUCAAGCCCGCAAACCCAGAGCGAGGAGGUGGUGUGGCCUUAACCUUUAAGUCUCGGGCGCCCUUGAGUUUUGAAUCUUCGGUCUUGCGGUCGGCGUUGUCGGUAGGAAUGGAGGUACCCAGGCUCGCGCGCGCACGACCUAGCUCCGUUAGCUAACACAACGCGACGCGAUCGGAGUACUCGCCUGCUUGGUACCAGAGCAAGGCCGGCGCCACGUUAGUUGGGAGCGCCGGCACCGCAGGCGGACAUGUGUGUUCGCCCCCCCCCCUGUCUCGCUGCGCUCGGGGGGCUCAGCCCAAAAACACGCAUUUGAAGUUAACUUUUGGUGUUUGGUGUUAACUCAGCAUGUUAAGGAGGCACCUUCCCUGAUGAGGCAGCGUGUGAUUAGUGGGUAAAAGCCUCUUGACCGCGUGCGAUUUCUGGAGGGUAAGGCGCUGUUUGACAAGGAGAAGGGCACCUGCUCACAGCGGAUGUACACCGUGACACGGCAGCCUGUACCGCCCAUCAGAGAUGCAACUGGUGCGUGAGGUGACAGACAGGUGUCGGGUGGCGCGAAGCGACAGGCAGAGGCCGCGCAGGAGCAGCGCCAGGUUCGGCGCGUUGCUCGCGCUCUUGCGACCACUCAGAAGCAGGCCACACGCGCAAUUGAAGCACGAGACCCAACCGCCGCGCCGGCGCCCGCGAAGAAGCCUGCGGGGCGUAAGCGCGGCAAGCAACAGGCAGAAUAUUUACAUAAAUACUAUUGACCGCCAAUGUCCUCGAAACCAGCCACCGGCAAGCGCGAGCAGGUGCGUGGCGAAACACACUUCGAGGUGUCACGCUUCGAGGCGAGCAAGUACGUUGGUGGCAAGCUACAGUUUUUAGUAAAAUUCAAGGGAUUUCCUAAAGCGGAAUGGCUGCCUGCAGGAGGACCUGAGCGCCGACGCCUAUCGCGCGCUGCACAAGGCGAUGAAAGCAACGUGAUGCAUCCCUGUUUAUAUAUCUCGCAAAGUAUAUCAAAUUCUGUCGUUAUUUUCUACGCUGUCGCAGUCUGGUGCGACUGGGGAGUUUUGCCGGAAUUUCGCCCGAGUUUCGGCUGAGUUUCUGAGUUUCUCGCGAGUUUCUGUCGAGUUUUUGCCGAGUUGUAACGGAAUGCUACCGCCAAUUUCCGCCGAGUUCCCCUGCGCCCCGCCCGCGCGUGCACACCAGCGACUCUCAUGCACUCCAGCGAGUCCCGCCCGCGCUGCUGCCCAACUGUCAAACAUGUGAAGCCGUGUGCGCCAAGAGGCAGCUCAUGGAAACCGGGUCAGCCCCAUGCGUCUCUCUGAGCUUACACGCAGCUCACACACGCAGCUUCCCAGACGGCGCGCGCACGACUAAGCACUCCCACUCACACGCCGCGCCAACCGCCAGCCUCCGCCGUGUUCCACCGUGCUCAGACGCAGCUUCGCACACGCGUGUGCGCUCAACUGCCUGCUCCCACUCGCGCGCCUGCCGACAACCGCCAACGACCCGUGUGCGUCACUACAGUCAGGUAGCUUCCGAGCCGGGCCGCCGUACAACUACCUGCUCACACUCGCGCAGCUGCCGACUGCCACGCUACCUCCUGUACGGCUGAGGGGGGUUGGGGUGCCGUACACGAGUUAGUUGGGGGUUAGUCGGAGCUGUCCCAGGAUGAAGGUUUAUCUAUUUUUUCAGGAGUCCCCUGGCUUUAGUUCGUCCAGGCAGCAUUCGAUGGCCCCUGCGUGCUUGCACGCUUGGGUUGUCCUCUCUUGUAUUACCGCAAUCAAAACAUGCAUGUUUGAGCAUAUGGAUGCGGAUGUUACAGAGGGGACAGUCCCAGCUCCCGAAGACGCCGAGCCAUCACAUGCUAUCAGGGCCCAACCCCGACUUUGCUGCAAACCCUCCCGCGGGCAAAGUCCGUGUGACUCCGCGCACAGUGAGUCCUAGCCAAGCCUCAACCCGCCAGAGCCCCACCGCUGUGCCUCAACGCCACAAGCCUAGGCACAGGAGUGCCGGGAAACGUCUAGGCCGCAGGACACACGCACAGCGCACGCACUAACCAGGGCGCGGAGCAUAUGGUGCUGCGUUGGGCCUCUAGACCUGCUUGUAAGGCGCUUCCCGAAAUCCGCCAGGAUGGCUACGGAAAUUCGGCUGACCCCCAGGCACAACGACCGACCCCCAAAACUUCCUCACCAGACCACCUGACAAGACUAACUCAGCCCCUGGCCACUCAUCGUUGCGGAAGUUUUGCGCCGAUGGGGAGGGGGGGGAUUGGGGGGAGGGGCACUCCCUCCCCCCGCACGGGAUGCAAGCAUCGCACGGUACCGUAGUGUAGGCACCAGCAUAUAAGCACGGGCGGUGUUCCUACGCGAAGGGGAGGGGGGCUUCGGGGGGCGCUCGCCCUCCCAUACAGGAGGGCGCUGGCGCGUGAACGGACGGGCGGCGAAGCAGCCAGGGCGCGGCAGUCAGGCACGUUCGUGCGGGGCGAAUAGGCCGCGGCCAGUAAGUUUGCGCCGAUGGGGAAAGGGGGGGGGGCGUUGGGGGGAGGGGCACUCCCUCCCCCCGCACGGGAUGCAAGCAUCGCACGGUGGCGCAGGCACCAGCACACAAGCACGGGCGGUGUCCCCCCCCCAUACAGGAGGGCGCUCGCGCGCGAACGGACGGGCGGAGAAGCGGUCAGGCGCGCGGGUCAGUUCUUGCGGGGCGAAUAGGCCGCGGCCAGCACACCAGCAACAUAGAGAGCUUCCAAAUACAUUAUGACGAAUGCCAAGCCGCAAAGAUUGCGCGAUUUAGGCUGUCAGUCAAUCAGUCAGCAGGGAGCACUGUGCGCACAUAUUAUGUCCUACAAAUAGAUACUUAUUCAAUACAUCCGAUGAUCUCAACGAUGCACAGUAAGUCGCAUCCGCGGGCAAGCUUGUUGGUGGUGCAUUUGGCUCGCUCGCUGCGCUUCAGGGGAACCGUCCGCGUGUAGAUAAUACAGAUCAUCUCGAUCUAUCUAAUGAAUACGAUGAAUCACGCAUAUGCGCCUUGGGGAGAUUGCACAAUGGGGGGCAAACCGGUCCCGCGCUUCGCAUCCCUUCGGCCGAUCUUUGCGCUUGCAAAAAAGUAAAGGUGCUGGGCGCCCUGGCUAUUCUUUCACAUAAGAGUCAACGCGUUUCGUUCACCCACCCCACAAAGUGCAUCUCCUUUGACCAACGUUUUCUCACAGCAAACGCUGUCAAAAAUUAAUGGCGCGCCGCUGGGUUGGGCGUCAGGGCGCAAAUAGUCAGUUACACUUGGUCGCAGCCUUGAAAGCGGGCUGGGGCGCACGCCACACCCCAAAAACACGCCAGGAGACACACUUUGGAACAGCAUGUGUAGAUGAGUGGCUGCAGCACAUGCACGGCUCUGCGGCUGGCACCUACGUACCGCCGUGGACAGCCGCCGCCACCGCCCUGGUGCAGCAGCUACACACGGCCGCCCACCCCCUCUGCGUCCUGACGAUGCAGCGGGCGGCCGGCGGUGUCGGACCCGCUGCCGAUGGCUGUGCAAUCUUCGGCCAGCCGGUGGCGGCAACCUGCCCGGCCCUCGUGCGCCUCCUGGGUGCCCUCAGCUACCUGCCUCCGGUCACAAUCCUACGCCCGGCUGUGCUGGUGCCAGGGCCCUGGUGCUUUGCACUUCCGCUCUGGGGCAAUCCAGUCUUGCCAUGUGCGGCGGGGCUUCAGGCGGGUGGCUUGGAACGUGACUUCCCAGCUCUCAUGGCGCUGCCGGGUCUGCUCACGCUCGGCACGGCAGUGCGGUGCUGGGAGGCGCUGGCCGCGGUGCGCCAGCUGGUGGCUUCCAAGCCGGCUGGUGCGCUCGGGCCGCGCCUCGCACGCCGCUGCACUAUACAGUACAAGCGGUCCGUCCUGCGCCCCGUCCUGCGCAUUACGGAUAUGGCGCGCGUGCCGCCGGAGCUGCAGUCCGGACCGGAUGCUGCUGCCCAAUUCUCCGCGCUGCUGGCCCGUGUACCGGCGGCGUGGAGGGUGGCGGCGUCGGCCACGCUGCAUGCUCCUGGCGGCGCGGCCUCCGCGCCUCCUGCCCCCCAGGUAUGGCUGCUGCUUGCGCAGAGCCUGGGGUGGCGGCAUGGCGCGGCUGACGUGCCCUUGCUGACCCUUACGGUGAAGCAGGCAACCCAGCUUCAACUUGCGCCUGCGUACGACGCGCUCCGCGUGCGUCACUUGGCCUUCAUCCAAGAGGCCCACAGCGGCGCCGCGCCGCCAGCGGAAGCGAUUCAUGCGCUGCGGGCGGCCUUGGCGCGGCUGUGGGCUUUGGUGUGGGAGCCGCGACACAAGGAACCGCUCUGGCGUCUGGCAGUCAAUGGGUUCACGGGCUUUGGGAUGCUUGCGGCGUGGGCCGCAGAUGGACGCGUGGAGAAGUGCCCAUGUGGGACUCAGAUGACUGCUGGGGCUAGGGUUCAUCACUUCUGGGACUGUGUGGUGGCGGAGGCUCUGCGUGAUGUGAUGCGGGAGCAUGCGAAUGUGGACAUCACACGGAACCAGUUGUGGUUAGUACAGGCGCCACCAGGGCUAUCGCAGGCGGUGUGGGACAUCGUGUGCUUGGCUGCUGUGGCGGCCCUGGAAUACGGCCGACAGCGCCUUUACGCUUGCCGUGAUGCUGCAGACCGGACUGCGGAGGUUGCUGUUGUGCGAAGGAUCGGUGUGGAGGUGAUUGCGGACUUCUGGUCACGGCUGGCUGCGUUUGUGAGUCUGCGUCGGCCUCCGCGCCGCUGGGACCUUGUCCCGAACCAGCACCCAUUCCUAGCGUCAGAUGAUGUUGGAGGGGUUAUUUUGGUAGGGCCAACAGCGGACUCGCCACCGGCCUCACCCUAGCUUGUCAGCUUAGGGACUCGCAAGAGGUAGUCUUAUGACGCCGACCCACGGCUUAGGUGAGCAGCGCUAGCGUUUGCGGUGAGCCGGGCCUGGGGUUCCUCCCCUCUCCGGAGGCGAGGAGCAUGGGGGUCAUUCGGGGAUCUCUCCUCGGGUGAGCGUGCGUGUCUCGUACGUUUUUGGGGCCCUGGCUAGUCCACGGCUGUCGUCCCACAUGUAACCUCUAUCAGCUAAUUAUGCGGUACAUGGUGCAGGGCAGUCUGUACUGACUGUUCCGUUGUGCUGCGCUGUCCCGGCCGCCCCUGGACCUCCCGCCUCUCACCCACCAUGCCCCACCCCUUGACCCGGGUAGCCGGGUUGCUUCCUUAAGGGGCUACGCUAGCCCGCCCGUAACCAGUCCCAUCGCACCCACUCCUUUCUCAGCCCCAGCCCUCUGGCAGUAGCACGGGAGGGUCAGGAGUGGGCAGUGCGGUAGUGCACACCUCCAUGUCUCCAUCCGCCUCCAUGGCGGGGGGGGGGCACAGGCCAACAGUCCGAGAGGCAAAUUUGUGCCUGUCACUUGAGUGCACGUGCCGCGGCAUGCGUUUGUGUUUGGGGCAAUCGCACGUCGUGAUGGGCCCAGGACGCAUCAAUUAUCCUGCCUCUUCGUGCCGCUGUCGUACUUCCAUGUGCGAUGGUGCAUGCGCGACGCAGCGGCUGUGGUCUUUCCUGGGAGGGGGGGGGGAAGCCCACGUCUAACCCAACCUAUAGCGGCGGAGCCACGUCUGAUUGUCUGACUGGACAGUAUUCCGCUGACCACGACCAUGUUCCCCACUUUAGUCCUGCUUGUCGCCCAACAGGUGUGGGCUGCUGAUCACAGGCUAGUUGCCCUGCUGCUGCGCGUCAAAGACCACGUGACCUGCACCUACGCCUGCACCUACGCUGUUGUCGGCGCCCCACGUGCGUGUACAAUGCGCAUCAGCAAACUUCCAGCCAGCCAGCAACUUGUCGGUACAGUAACUCCGGCGUUCGACCAGCCAUGCACUCCUGCUCUGCCGCUGCAAACUGUUUGCUGUCUGCUUGGGGUAUGGGCGUCAGCUGCACCCUAUGGGACCUCGCCAACCUGCCUGAACCCUGUCCCAUCACACCCCCACGUGCGUGUACGGAGGCGCAGGUACAGACCGCUGCUGCUGCCAGGUCCCACCCUUGUGCCUGACGCUGGUGCUGCGCCACCCGCACCUGCGCGCGCUGAAUAACCCGCUCCUGCGUUAUACCCCUCAAGAGACAGCACGGCACUUGGGACCGGAACCUCGGAAUCACGUACUCUUCACGUUACAGCAACGCUACUAGCGAGACAACGACGCAACCAGCGCAGUGGCUGGACAGACCCAGCGAGGCCUCCUCCGCCGCGGCGAUGCACCCGCCGCCAGCCGCCAGGCGGGCGCGCCCGCCGCCGCCACCUCAAAUCGCUGCGCCCUCCUCCUCCGCCACUGCCGCUUGCUAGGCUGCUGCUGCUGCCACCGCUGCUGCUGCAAUUCCGGCUGGGCUCGCUCCGCCACCAAAACCACCACCGGCUGCUGCUGCGGCCAUGACGGCCGCCGCGCUGUUGCGGCACACCGGCAUAUCGCGACGCCGCGCGCCUACAGGCGGCGACCGCGGCGACCACCCUUCCGGCGGGUGGAGUCGGUGGGGAUGGGGGUCACGUCCUCUGCAUGGUGAAAUAGAGAUUGGGCACACAACGGUCAGGUUCGGGAGCAGUACCAUAAUAUGCAAUGUAAAAGAGGCCGCACAUGGGUGAGCGCGCGGCCGGAGAUAGCGCAGGGGCACGGGGAGCAGCGCGCCUGCGGGGCCGCUGGCUGGGACUGCACGAUGCGCUGGGCGCCUGCGGAAAACCGUGACUGCGCUGGUGCAGCAGCAGCUGGCUGGCUGGGCGCCUGAGGACGAAAUGCACCGCGCGACGUGUGCCGCACCAGCGCGCAUCCGCCAGACAUCGCCACGCUGCACUGCGCCAGCACAAGGCCCGGCACUGCCGCCCGUACUGCGGCGGUCAGCAACACCGCGAGGGCCGCCGCAAGCCGCCGAGCUGUGCACGCCGCAGACUUCUGCAGUGACUGAAGAGUGGUGUGGCCACGCUGGUAGCCUCAGCGCGGCCCUCCGUGCGCAGUGCAAGCUCUGCUUCCGGCACGGCUGCCAGAGCUGUGCCGUCAACCCGCCACCGCCCAACGCGCCCCAAGCACCGGCCUAGCAAGCCAAGCUGUGAGGCCGAGAGGCACGGGCCAGACGGCGCUGCUGCUGCGGGCCGCUGCUGCUGCACGGAAGCGUCAACUAGCCGGUACGUCUGCUGGCUGCCCCCGUCACGCAGACCGCGACCUCCCGGCCAGGCCAAGGUACCAAGACGCGGUGGCGGCCGCCCGCCAGACCAGCCCACAUCCCCGGCCUGCGGCGCCUGCUUGCGUGCGCUGCUCCCAGCGCUGCUGCAUGCGGGAGCAGCAUCACCCCCGACGAGGCGGCACCGGACGCGGGUCCUCCGUGGGCAGCCGGCGCUGCCGUUGACGCCUUGCGGCUCCUGCUCCUGCUGCCGCUGGCGCCGCCCGGACCCACCAUGGCUGCUGCGGCUGCCCCAAAUAGGCGCCAGCAUCCAUCACCAUGGUGCUACUGCCACCUCCGCUGUUGUCCCUGCCACUGACAUAAACCCUGAAUGUACGAACACCGCCUGCCGAGUGGCUGCGCCACAGUCGGUGCCGUGCGCCUGCUGACGCGGACGUCUCCGCUGCGACUGCUGCCGCCAUGAGUCCGCGCUUGCUCGCCGUGAUCCGUUUCCUCCACAUGCCGCCAGCCGCAAUGUAUGCCCCAGCCCAACCUAUGGUCAAGCCCCUCCCGCCCCCUACAAAGGCCAGAUCAUCCGUGCAACCCAGCGCGCCGGGGCACAAGAUGGCAGCACUGCCCCCACUUCAUGCAAUCGUUCCCUCCCUCCCUAACCUCCCUCCCUCUCCCUUCCAUCCCCUCCGGACGUCCUCGACACCCCACCCACCGAUGCGGCCAAUCUUCAUGCCCGCGCGGGCCAGGGCACGCAGGGCGGACUGGGCACCGGGGCCGGGGGUCUUGGUCCGGUUGCCGCCGGUGGCGCGCAGCUUGAUGUGCAGGGCAGUGAUGCCCAGCUCCUGCACGCAGCAGAAUAAAAAAAUGUACCCAGCAUGAUUAGCCCAAAGCUCAGCAUUAUCACAAAGCGGGCGCUCCCGAGCGCUCCAUCACUGUCAAUCCUCCCUGUCUCUGGAGGGCUCCUCUACGUCCGCUGAUAGCUCCGGAUAAAAGUGCGCUGGAGUAUUCUGCAACCUGCAGCAUCGCCUGCGCCACUUCUCCGCUGGGCCACUGCCGCCCUGCUUGCCCGGCCGCCAAGCUCCUGUGCCGGCCUGCCCGUCCGCUGCCUCGCCAGACUGCUGCUGCAUCUUAAAGCUUCUGCCAAAACCUCCAGGAGCAUCCCGGGUCAAGAAGCGCCCUGCCGCCGCACGCAGUCGCCUGCCUCCUGCGCAGACAUUACAAGGCUGCCCGCAAAGCUUCCAACCCUCAAUUUGCCCAUUUACCUUGCACUUCUGGGCCACGUCCUGCGCGGCAAGCAUGGCCGCGUAGGGCGACGACUCGUCGCGGUCGGCCUUGACCUUCAUGCCGCCGGUGACGCGCGAAAUAGUUUCCCGGCCCGACAGGUCGGUCACAUGCACGAACGUGUCGUUGAAGCUGGCGAAGAUGUGAGCAACGCCGAAGACGUGCUCGCCCUCGCGGACGGUGGGGCCCAGGCUCACCACCUCCUUGGGGGCCUCAUCACCCUUGGCGGCCUUCUUGGGGGCCAUGGCUGCUGCUGUUUUGAGAGGAAGAGGGCGGGCAAGGUGCGCGCUCUCGGACUUGGCGCUCGCCGAGCUGCAUGAGCGCCGUACUGGCUCUUAAGUGGUUCUCGCUCCCUGCUGCUUCUGAAGCACCCGCGAAAAUUGCUCUGACUUUGACAUUAGUGUUCAAUGGCAUGAAAAUUUUACAAUGACACCAAAUAUGACCAUACGCUUGGGUUGACCGGCCAUCCGUUGACGAAGCCGGGCCGCAGCGCCUGUCGCAUACACGAUGGGACAAGGACGCAGCCGGCACGUAUAUGCUUUCCAGCCGCUCCCAUGGCCCGAAUCGCUGCACGCCUUUCGACUCAUCGACCAGGUGCGAACGCCACGCAUGUCCCACAACCUCCCUGCAUCACUAGCAGUCACGACCGUCUCAUGGGGCCUCAUCAUGUCCAAAUAAUCGCUAUGGCUCUAGGUCGGGCAUGAUACAGGUCACCUUGCCCGUUCGCCCGUAUGCCCCCGCGCGACGGCACGGCUUUCCUGCACCCAGCCUUGUCCUCGUCCUCCUCAACCCGAGCCCAGCCAUUCUCACUAGACCCUAUCACGUGCAGAUAUGUGGCAUCGCAACUACUUAUGCCACAACACACCUGGAGGUGCACGCGGUGCGCGUGCUGGACAAGGUUGGAGAGCUGCAGGUGCGAAGAACCGCGCAGCAACCGCCCCCCAUUGCGAAACCGGCGGCCAGUCAGCCCCUCUCAUCUUCCUCCUUCAUUGCAAGUCAGCGAUCCUUCCCACGUCGCGCCUUCCAGGGUGGUCCUACAAAGCCCCUCUCGCCCUCCAUUUCCAGUCCCCACAAACCCCUUCAUGCCCACCCCCGAACCACACCUUCCCCUGCACAGCGCCUGCCGUUCCAGUGGGAGGUGUUUGAGCCCGACUUCGAGCGCCUGCGCGGCAGCCACCUCAUGAAGCUGGCCACGGAGCUGCACAGCGCACUGGACAAACUGGAGGGGUGAGGGUGUGGAGGCAGGGGGUGGUGGAGGUGGCGUGGGGGGUUGGCGGGGUGAAUUGUGAAGGGGUGGAGCGGAAGGUGGAGCGGGGGGUGUAGAGGAAGGGGUGGAUGGCGGUGGAGGCACGGUCGGUGGCGGGAAGUGGUAGGGGUGGAGGUAUCAGGUGGUGGGGCUGGCAGGAGAUUAACCCAGGAGUGGGUGGCGACAGGGGUUUGUGUGGGGUGUGGGCGUGGGCAGGGCGUGGGAUGGGGCUUCAUGUGGUUGAGGUGUGCGCAAGCGGAAUGCCGUGCGGUGCGACGCGGGCUGGGGGCGUGGGGCGGAGCGGUGCACUUGGACACAGAGAAGCUGGGGGCAAGUGGAUGAGUGGCGAUGGGCGGCAGGAGGGAUGAGGUGCCGCGCUUCAGAGGGUGUGGGCAUAGGUGGCCCUGCGUCGGGACUGCAUGGUCCCAGCUUGGACACAUACCGCACGGCCCGGCGCCGCACGACUCGCAGCUCCCAACCCGACCAGCCCCACGUCCCGCCCGCCCGUCCGCCCUACAUGCACCCAUCGCCGCUGCUGUGACCGCUUCACCUCGCCCCACCUCCCCCCUGCCCUGGUUUGGGCUGGUAUCUACAACCCCCACCCCACCCCACCCCUGCCGUACACAGGUGCAAGUACGACAUUGGCGUGCUGGCGGAGAAGGGGCUCAUGUUCAAGUGAGGCGGGCAGGGAGGCAUACGCCCGAGCCAAACGAAACAGGCCUCAAUUGUCAAGGGGGAAGGAGGCAAGGAAUACAGGGCGGAGGAGGGAGCGGGGGAAAGAGGAGAGGAGGAGCCGAGGGCGGGAGGCGGGCGCAUGUUCGGGUGGAAGGGAGGGAACUGUGUGCAAGAAACGGCGGGGCUGCGGGGGCUGCGGGAGCUGUGCGGCGUGGCAGGCGGCACAGACAAGCUGUUGUAUGCUGGGUCAGUGAGUUGAGAAGUUGAGGGCACGGCAGCUCCACACCUGCAGCGCCAACCAAAACUUGCAUGCGCCCAAUCACGCGCCUGCACACACACACACACAUGCCUUUGCGCUUAUGCUUCUUUGUGCUCUUCAACACACACAGGUCAUUGCGCAAGGCCGCUGACAAGGUGCUCCUGAUCCUGGCGGAGGUGGAGCAGGUGCGGCUGUGGGGGCUGUGUGGGGCUGUCACCACCGUGUACCGGGGGUCUACCUGCCGGUUGGCCGUCGUGACAUCCCGCAUUACCGUGAAGUGAAGUGUUGGGCGUAUGUGGCUGCGAGCCUAACUUGGGGUUGCGAGCCUAAAGCGGGAUGCGCUUCACCAGACCGGCACCUCUCGCACCACUAACUGCACGGCUGCACCUCGCACGUUCCCUCGCGGACACGGCUUUAAAUCAACUUAACUGCCGCUCCCACCUCCCGCUCAGAUCCACCGCACCUUCCACUACACAUUUGAGCUGGCGCUGUACGAGAGCGUGCGGGUACGUGAGCAUGCGUUCUUGCGUGGGGGGGGGGGGGGCUGUAAGUACCAGCCCAAACAAAACCAAACCAAGCCAAAUUAGCGGAGCACAGGCAGAGGCGAGGGGGCAAGGAGGCUGCUGGUUUGCCGUUGAUUCGCUGUUGGGAUGGAGGGCUACUUCGGGGGAAAGGCCUGAGGUUGCAUCUGGCCGCGUGAGCUACGUGCGUUUUGCUGGCGUCGCGCGAAAGGGACCCAUGUUGUCGUUGUGAGAGCGCCGGUUGGAAACAUGUUGUCACAGGACGACACGCCGUCGCCACCCGGCAGCCUCCGAGCCAACAGCCCGGCGCGCUCCACGCUGCGCACCCCAGUCAGCGGUGGCGGCGCGCGCAGCUUCGGCAGCAGCGGCGGCGGCGCACGCGGGAUGAGCAGCGGCGGCGGUGCCCGCGGAAUCGUCAGUGGCGGCCGCCGCCAGCCUGUGCUGUUGCCGCCUCCCCCCGAGCCCGAGGACAGCGAUUUAUAUUCGCAGACCACCACCACUUCGCCGCGACCACACCUGCAGCAGCAGCCGUCGGCGCAGCGGCAGUUGCCGCCCCGGACAUCUCCCAGUGUGCGGCAGCCGGCGGCUCCGGCGGCGGCGGCGCCGCCGGCGCAAACAGCUGCUUUUCAGCCGCAGGCAAUGGCCGCGAUGGCUCCGCCACCGGUGGUGGCGCAGCGGUCUGUUCGGAUCAUGAGCGAUGCUGCCACCUCGACGCCCACCCACAUGGCACAGCAGCAGCAGGCAGCGGCAGUAGCAGCGGGUGCCGGUGCUACAGCUUCCCCGGUCGUUGCACGGACGCGGGCGCAGGCGUACAAGACGCCGCAGCCGCAGCAGCAACAACAACAGCAGCAGCAGCAGUAUGUGGUGGUGUACCUGCCCCAGGUGAGCGGAGGAAGCAGUAGCAGCAGUAGGCUGUGCGUGCACGGGGGCAAGGGCGGGCAAGCACGCCGUGCAUCGCUUCGGCAUGCGGGCAUGACAACAAAAAAUGCAUAAACGCUUAUACCUGAUGAGUGAUUACCGGUAUGCUGCGCUGCUCGCCGUGUCGGCCCCCGGCUCUGACCUGAAGCAUCGCCUUUAUACUUCUCCUCCCGUUCCCCCCAGGGCCCCGGCAGCAGCGGCCCCCGUGCCAUCCUGGUGCCCUCCGAGGCGCUGCAGCCCGCGCCCAGCACCCCCGCGCCCAGCGGCGGCGGCGCGCCGCCCUCCCCCUCCUCCCUGCAUUACUCCCCCGCGCCCUCGCUACGCAGCGGAACCGUUGGUUCCACGGCCUACACAGGAGGAGGAGGCGGCUCGCCGUAUUCGCCGCAUUCGCCGUACGCGCCGCCGCCGCACAUGCCAACCGUGGCGUCGAUUGCUGGCCACGGCAGCCGCGGCGCCGCCGGGUACGGCUCGCCGUACCAGGCGCCGCAACAGCACACACACAAUGCGCCGGCGGCGGACAGUAGCUACAGCCCCCGCCAACCCCUGUACGGGUCGACUGGUAUGAACGGUACCAGCCCGUACACAACCGCAACCGCCCACCCGACGUCAGGACCGUACGGGCACACGUCCGUGCCACGGCCUGGCUCGCCCCCGGCCUACAAGUACUUCUCCCCGCCCUCCUCGCCGCCCUCCCCUGGGCUGUCGUACGUCACCUCACCGCCGCCGUACUCCACAGCAGCGCCGCAGCAGCAGUACAAUCCGUACGCAUCGCCGUACUCGCCCGCCACGUCGUCCCUGUACGGCAGUCCGGCACCGCCGCCACCACAUCAGCCUCCGGCUGUAGCAACGACCGGCCCGUGGCUGGGCGCGGGGGCUACUGCUGCUACCGCCGUGCCGGCAGUGGUGCCGGGUGCUGCGCCGGGCAGUGUCAUGGUGUUACAGGUGUGUGUGGGGGUGUUGGCAGGAAAGUACAUCAGCAUAACCUUUGUUCUAUGGCACAAGGAUGGCAGCACGUUAUCUCUUGUGGUUGUAUGGUCUGGGCGCUGGUCCGGGUGCAACUAGGUGCAGCUUCGCGUCUAAUGUGAAUGUGAGUGUGUCUAUGUGAAUGUGUCUCCCACUCGCCCUGCUACAGCCUGUGUCGGCCACCAUGACCUCAUCCGGUGCGGUGGUGCUACAGCCGGCCAUGGCGGCACCCGGCGGCAUGGCGGCGCCGCCAAUGCUGGUGGUGGCGCAGGUGCGGCGUGUUUGCUUGCGUCCUUGUGCUCUGUGUGUACGUUUGGAACCCACCAUAGGGGAGCGGGGAGGGGCUGGGGGCGGUGGGAGAUCCGAAGCGCUUGCACAUCCGGGAAUGCGAUUCCAAGCAUUUAGGCGGUUGUGGCACGCAUGCACAACACCAAGCCCGUUGCCCUAAUCCCGCUAAAACCAAGCUCGUGCGCAUGCCCCGCCCCACGUGGCCCCGUUUGUUUUGUAGGACCCCGACUCAAUGCCGGGCGGCGGCGGCGGCAGCGGCGCGUCCCCCGGCCGCCAGCGCUCCGUGCGCUUCUCCCGUACGUACGACGAUGAGGAGGAGCAGCCAGAGGGAUACGACAGGCGGUACGACCAGGAUAUGGAUGAGGCGGCCCGCGUCAAUGGCGGCGGCAAUGGCAGUGGCAAUGGCAGUGGCAAUGGCAGUGGCGGGCGCCGCCAUCACUCGACGUACACGUACGUGGCCGGCCGUAACGCCGCGCCGUACCAGGCGCCAACCGCGGUACCCUCGUACCUCACGCCGUACCUCGGCGAGAUGUCCCCUCGCAUUGAUGAGGGCACGGGCAUGGGCGUUGGACCAGACGAUUGGGAGGGCGCGGAGGAGCGGGCGGCGGCGCAGGGCGCACGUGCGCGCCUGCGCAGCGGCGGCGGCGCCGCAUCGCUCAUGUCCAAGUAUCGGGACCUUUGGAGCACGCCCGCCGGGGCAGUAGCCGCGGCGCCACACGUACCGGUAGCAGGCGGCGGCCAGCCCGCGUACCUGGUCGAAGCAUACGCCGGCGGCGGCACCACAGCCAUGGCGGCGGCGGCGGCGCGGCCGCAGUCGCGUAGUGCCUCGCCGCGGCGCGAGUCGGAAGUGAUGCUUGGCGGCGGCGGCGGCGGCGGGCUGGACGGCACGGCAGCCGGAUUUGCGGCGCCGCCGGCACCUGCCGUACACAACAUCUCGUACGAGCGGUUGGCGGCGCUGGCGGGUUUGGAUCCAGAGGUGCUGGGUGCCGGCGCGGCGGCGGGCCUGACGGAGCGGCGGCGCAGCGGGGCUGCUACUGCCGCUACUGCCGUGAAGCCGUACGUGGUGCCUGGGGAGGAGGCGCUCCGGAAGAUGGAGAGUUUGCUGGAGGCAGCGGGUGAGUGCAGGCAGGGGCUUGACCGGGCAGGCGAAAGCUGCCGUCGUCACGCCCACGUACGGUGCGGUGCGGUACCUCUCGCAUGUGCAUGCCCUGCGCACUUUGCAUACGAAUUCACUCCUUACCAACUCCCACUUCCCACACAACAACACUCCAACGUCCACCCAAACCUCUACCCCUCUUUCUGUCAUCCACCAGAGGACGGCGACUGGGGCGCGGUGGCCGACAUGGCCGCCCUCAUCCGGGCCGGCUGGUGGGGCGACGCCCGCGAUGCCGCGGUGGCGCGUGGGCUGCUGCUGCAGGCGGCGCUGCGGGGUGAGGCAGCACUGGCGGGGCGGGGCGGGGCGGGGCGGGGCGGGGCGGGGGAAUGACUUUGCAUAACAUGGCUCGGGCAUUGGCGUGGCACGACCAGGGCCCAACCCAGGUGAAGCGUUGUAACGGUACCGGUUUUCAGCGGUUAAGCAGCUACGGGCCUCGUGCCGCGCAUGGACAUGCCCGUGCAUGCCUCUGCCUGCACAUGCACUUCGACAUACACGCACAUGUGUGAACCUUAUCACUGUCAUACCGUAACAUAGCAUCGUCUAUUGAAGAUUAUUUGACAUUGGAGUGGCACGAACGCACAUGAACAUGCCCUCGCAUGCCUCUGCCUGCACAUGCACUUUGACAUACACGCACAUGUGUAAACCGUAUAGCCUUCACAACAUGAUAUCAUCUGCUGGUGCUUCUUUACAUUAUUGUCACAAUACACACGCCCACGCAGGCGGCUCCGUGGCGGCGCACGCGGCCCUGGGUGGCAUGGCGGAGCGCGGCGAGGGCCUGCCCGGCGGCCUGCCCGACCAGGCGGCGGCGGCGCGGCACUACGCGGCGGCGGCGGCGGGCGGACACCGGGACGCCGCCACCGCAUACGCCUACCUGCUGGUGAGGGGAAGCUGAACACGCGUGACCCCUGCGUGUAUGGUGUGUGUGUGUGUGUGUGUGUGUGUGUGUGUGUGUGUGUGUGUGUGUGUGUGUGUGUGUGUGUGUAUAUGCAUCGGACUGUUUAGGUGCCACGCCCGCCUCACCCGAUUUGAUGCAUUGUUUGAUGCAUCACAACCUACAUUACUUGACUGCACUGCACCCUAUGUAUCCCCCGAGUUCGGUUUAGUUUGGGCUGGUAUCUACAACCAUCCCCCCCCCCCCCACACACACACACACAGGAGCACGGGCUGGGUGUGGCGCAGGACGAGCCGCGCGCCGCCCAGAUGUACGCCGCAGCCGCGCAGCGCGGCUGCCCCACCGCCGCCAACAACCUAGCCAAAAUGAUUCUGGACGGCCGCGGCGGCAUCAUGCAGGUGCCUGCAGCCGCCGCCACCGGCGGCCGGUCUCGGCGGCGCAUGGGUGCGGAUGGCGUGGCGGCGCCGGCGCCGGCGGCCCCGACGCCCGUUUCCAUGGCGAUGGCUUUGUUCAGGCGCGCCGCGGAAGCAGGCUCGGCGUCGGCGUGGUAUAACUUGGGCGUGUGCCAUCUUCAGCAGAUCAAGCAGCAGCAGGCUUCGCUGAAGAAGCUGGGACUGGCCGGGGGCGGAGGGGGAGGCGAGGCGACGCCGGUGUUGCUGGGAGCAAAGGACGAGGCCGGGAUGGCGGAGGCGAUUCGCUGCCUGGCUGAGGCGGCGAGCCGCGGCCAUGCCCGUGCGGCGCUGCGCGCCGGACACCUGCACCUGCUCCGCAGCGCCGCCGCCGCGGCCGUGGACGCCUUCGCAACCGCGGCGCUCAACGCCGCCGCCGCCAUGGCCGGCGCAGCUGGCGGCGGCGGCAGCCACGGCGGCGCCGCCGGCGAGGAAGCCGCCAGCCCGGCCGCUGCUGACGCGGCGGAGGUGGAGGCGGAGGCUCUGUGGUGCCUGGCACAACUGGCGGAGCGGCAGAGCGCGGUGCUCGAGGGCCGCGCGGCCGCGGCACUGGCGGCGGCGGCGGCGGGAUCGGCCGCUGGCAGUGAGGGCACUGGCGGUGGCCGGCCCAGCGGCGACGGCGGCGCGGCGGCGAGUCGGAUGAAUAGCGUCCGCAGCCGGGGGCUGGCGGCCAGCGCCAGUGGCAAUAGCCGCGCCAGCGGCGGCGCCCGCGCCUCUGGGGCCUCCGGUGAUGGCGACUUCGCCGGCGGCGGCUUCGACGCGGGCGUCGGUGCGAUGGGAGAUGACGACGUCGCAGUGGGCCAGCUGCUGGCGACGCUGGCGGGAACAAGCGCCGGCGGCGACGCCGCGGCUGCCGCCGCCGCAGCGGCGGCAAUCGCCGGCGGCGACGGCAUCAGCGAGGAUAUGGCGGCGGCAGCGGCGGCGGACCCAGCGGCGGCGGCAGCACUCCGCUUCGCAAAGGAGCUGUGCCGCCUGGACUUUGACUGCUGCCGCCAGCCCGGCGCCGUCCGGAGGGGCGGCGCGCUGACGACCGCGGCCGUGACGGCGGCAGGGCUCGACCCGUCCGGGGUUCCGCCAGCACAGCGCGUGCGCGGGCUGCGGCGGCUGCGACGUCAGGCACGCGAGGUGAUUGCCGAGUCGGCGGCGCCCGGCGUCAAGGCUGCCGCUGACAGCGGCGGCGACGGCGAGAGCCGGUCUUCGGUUGAUGGCGGCGGCGGCAGCGGCGGCUUCGCCGCCGGGCUGCCCUCGGCAGGGCCGGUCUCGUCGGCGCUAGCGCGCUUGGACCUGCAGCUGCAGCAGCCGGGAGAGCGCGCGACGCGGUCGCGGUGCGCGGCGGCGGAGCUGAUGGCGGCAGCGGCGGCGCGCGGCCAUGCAGGUGCGCAGCACUGGCUGGCGGGCUGGCAGUGGAGCAUGGGGCACACCGGCGGCGCGGCGGCGCUGUGGCAGGCGGCGGCGGCGCGGGGGCACGGCCCCUCGCUGAUGGUGCUGGGGCAGAUGGCGGAGGCAGGUCACGUGAUGGUGGCGGCGGCGGGGGCGUCGGCCGGCGGCGCCGCCGGCCAGCUGCAGACUGCGGGCCGUGGCGCGGACCUGGCGGCGGCGGCGCGUUACUAUCUGUAAGUGUGGGAGGUGAUGUGUGAGGGUUGUGUCUGAACUCUUUACGGGCACAGAAAUCAUGGUGAGACCUGCCUAUAGCUUGAAGCGGGUACAACAUGUUGAGUUCAUGAAGGCACCGACAGGCCCAUGCUGAAGUAAACAUUCCGUUUCAAUUCGUCCCGUCACAGGCGCGCGCAGGAGGCGGGUGCGCCGGGAGCCCUGGAGGCCAUGCGACGGGUGCAGCGCGUGCUGCAGCGGCACGUGACCCUGCAGGUGGGUUGAACGGUUGUACGUGUGUGUAUGCAAUUAUUGUUGUUGUGGGCAUGACGCACGCGGUUUAAGAAUGUUUGAGGCUCGUCUGGGCUUGUGGGCAGGACCGCGGAGGGGCGGGUAGGGGGUUACGGGUACGGAGGAUACACGGGCACAUGGUGGCAGUGUGAUACAGCGCGGCCUGAGGCCACGGCGUGCAACUCAGCAUUGCCUCUUUGCCAGCAUUCCGGCUCGCUGCGUACUGACAUGAUGACGUAUGGCCCAUCGACACACACACGCCCCCGUCUUAUGCUGCCUACGUGCUGACAGGGACGGCUGGAGGCCGUGGCGGUGAUGGGCGGACCUGCAACAGCUAGCGGGCGAGCGGCUGAAAAGGCUGGCAGCAGGGGCGUGAAGGGCGGUGGCGGGGCAGCUGGUGGUAGCCGACGGUUCUAGUGACUUAGAAUGGUGUCCUGCAGGCAUGGGUGGCCGGGCUGUGUGGCGGACUGCUAUGCUGAUGCUGGGUCUGGCACGGGAUGGUGCUUGCGUGUCAGAGUCAACGAGGGGACUCGGUGCAGUGUGUAGAGUGUAGACCGGCUGGCGUGAGGCGGCGUCUUGGUGUUCCCUGUGAUCCGGAUUGCUGCUUGUCGUAUCGGCGUGGGCUGACGGCGGUACCGAUGCAUGCAUGGCUGCUACAACGCAAGAGUCGCGGCGGUCAACACAACGUGCGCACACGUAUGGCGCCAUGCGUCAGACUGGCCAUCGCGGAAAUGACGUCCUGCGAGGUCGUUGGAACAAGAAACUGCCUCCCCAUGUGCAGAUACGGCAUACUAUCGAAAGCCGCACACCACACAGCAUGUCCGUAGGCACUGGAACACACACAACUGCAAAUGCCCAAUGCAUGCUAUAGCCUAAGAAGCCGUUCCUUUGCGCACGUACGUUACCAAACACGAUGUAGUCAGCAUGGAUCACGGAUGAGUGCAGAGCGUGCGCAUAUGUUCUUUAUCGUCUGCGCGCAAGGGUGUCGCUGCUGUUACAUCGAGUUGCUUGCUUGUGUACAAGCAAGGACAAGCAGUAAGGUGCCAAGACUUGUUCUGCGCUUUUGGCGUCCCUUACAGCAUGGGAGUGGUGAUGACCUAUGGGGAGAUGCCCACUCAACGCGCAACGGGGAUGUAGGGCGGCGGCCUAGCUCCGAGCCUCCGACACCCAUCAGUCAACGCACCGCACUACUGAGGGCAUGCAGGCACACACACCGCACACGUGCACCGCGACAGUUGUCACGGGAACUAAUUGCAACUUCCCAAGUGUUCUUCCUUGAUGUGUGUCUUGGCCAGGGGUGCCUCGGCACGCGAUCCGGUGACUCAUCGGUGACGCAGGGCAGAGGGCGGAAUGGGCGGGCCGCGCGUCCUGCGUUGUGAGUGUCUCAGUGACUAUGUUGCGGAGCGGUGCGAGCCGUGCAAGGGCCAUGGGGCAUCUGUGCAGCAACGCACCGACCCGCCAGGCCACGCCACGCUAGGUGGCCUGCAAGUCUCGCGUUCGGGCCGACGGAAGUGCACGGAAGCCAUACCAGCGGCCAAGGUGCGGAGGUAUGCAUGCUGCGUGUGGGGGCCCUUGACGGUGGGCGGCUACUGCGGUGCGGUAUGGGCCGCUUCCGUGCCCUGGAGCCUGUGCGCUGUGCCUGCCCGGCUCUGAGUAGUGAGCCAGGCUAGAUGACAUGCUGUAACUGCGCUCGGGCCGCCAGGAAUCAACACGGCCGGGCCACACGGUGUCCGGGCGCUCGGCCACCCCACACAGCGCAGGGCCCACGGACGAGCCAAGCAUCCGCGCGGCGGCUGUAAAUAUGCCCAGCCAUGAUUCAUCCAGACGUGUGUCUAUAUGGGCUUGCUAGGAGCUCCCUGGCAGUGCACGAGAGCCAUGCUUGGCGCGUGGGUGGGCAUGUCGACAUGUUUGCCGGGUCCGCAUUUCGUUAGGAUUCGGACUACCCCCACUUCAAGGCUGCUUGUUCGCGAUCAUUGAGGACCACCUAUAUGAUAAUAGGCAAAUGGAGGAACCGACGCCAGGAAUGUGGCGACUUUUAGACCAAGCCUUAGCGGCUCGCGACCGGGCCGGCCGCGCGAGAAUUGCGAAAACAACUCCCGAGGCCUGACCCAAUGCAGCUCAACCAGUGCGACAUAUGGCUUACACAUAUGACUGUAUAUCUAAUAUUUCACAGCGCUCGCCAGCAGCGCCACAAACGUGUGCCAGGUCGGGCCGUGGCACGGUGCCCGGCCAGUGCUCUGCGUGCAGUUCCUAGGCCGCCAUGCCCCUCUGGCGCAUACCGCUCCUACCCCCCGUCCUCCAUGCACCUCCGCAUACAUGCAUAGCAGUCGCCAGCAUCGCAGCUUGGCAAAGCGGCCCGCGCACGGACGCCGCCUAGGCGGCACCCAGCCCAGGGGUGCGUGCCAGGCCACGCGCUGCUGCGCCCGCAGCCGGCAGAGGCUGCAUGGGCUGGCCACACAUGCCGCAGUGACGUGGCUGGCUGGCACACAGCCUGCGCAUAGCGAUGCAGGCGGCCCUGGCCAGCCAGAAGCCGCCGACUCGCACCCACCCAUGCCGUUCGUGGCCCGCCGCCGCCGACAACACAAAUUCAGCGCAUCCCCAGUCGCGGCUUGGGCGUGGGAUUGAUUGAAGGGGCGCCUUCCCACUUCCGAUAGUACCCAGAGCCUGUCAGGCCAUGUGGGGAUGCGCGGAGGGGCGGAGUGGACAGGGCGCGUGCGGAGGUAUGCAUGCUUCGUGUGGGGGCCCUUGACGGCGGGCGGCUACUGCGGUGCGGUAUGGGCCGCUUCCGUGCCCUGGAGCCUGUGCGCUGUGCCUGCCCGGCUCUGAGUAGUGAGCCAGGCUAGAUGACAUGCUGUAACUGCGCUCGGGCCGCCAGGAAUCAACACGGCCGGGCCACACGGUGUCCGGGCGCUCGGCCACCCCACACAGCGCAGGGCCCACGGACGAGCCAAGCAUCCGCGCGGCGGCCGUAAAUAUGCCCAGCCAUGAUUCAUCCAGACGUGUGUCUAUAUGGGCUUGCUAGGAGAUCCCUGGCAGUGCACGAGAGCCAUGCUUGGCGCGUGGGUGGGCAUGUCGACAUGUUUGCCGGGUCCGCAUUUCGUUAGGAUUCGGACUACCCCCACUUCAAGGCAGCUUGUUCGCGGUCAUAGUGGACCACCUAUAUGGUAAUAGGCAAAUGGAGGAACCGACGCCAGGAAUGUGGCGACUUUUAGACCAAGCCUUGGCAGCUCGCGACCGGGCCGGCCGCGCGAGAAUUGCGAAAACAACUCCCGAGGCCUGACCCAAUGCAGCCCAACCAGUGCGACAUAUGGCUUACACAUAUGACUGUAUAUCUAGUAUUUCGCAGCGCUCGCCAGCAGCGCCACAAACGUGUGCCAGGUCGGGCUGUGGCACGGUGCCCGGCCAGUGCUCUGCGUGCAGUUCCUAGGCCGCCAUGCCCCUCUGGCGCAUACCGCUCCUACCCCGCGCCCUCCAGGCACCUCUGCAUACAUGCAUAGCAGUCGCCAGCAUCGCAGCUUGGCAAAGCGGCCCGCGCACGGACGCCGCCUAGGCGGCACCCAGCCCAGGGGUGCGUGCCAGGCCACGCGCUGCUGCGCCCGCAGCCGGCAGAGGCUGCCUUGGCUAGCCACGCAUGCCGCAGUGACGUGGCUGGCUGGCACACAGCCUGCGCAUAGCGAUGCAGGCGGCCCUGGCCAGCCAGAAGCCGCCGACACGCAUCCACCCAUGCCGUUCGUGGCCCGCCGCCGCCGACAACACAAAUUCAGCGCAUCCCCAGUCGCGGCUUGGGCGUGGGAUUGAUUGAAGGGGCGCCGUCCCACUUCCGAUAGUACCCAGAGCCUGUCAGGCCAUGUGGGGAUGCGCGGAGGGGCGGAGCGGACAGGGCGCGUGCGGAGGUAUGCAUGCUGCGUGUGGGGGCCCUUGACGGCGGGCGGCUACUGCGGUGCGGUAUGGGCCGCUUCCGUGCCCUGGAGCCUGUGCACUGUGCCUGCCCGGCUCUCAGUACUGAGCCAGGCUAGAUGACAUGCUGUAACUGCGCUCGGGCCGCCAGGAAUCAACACGGCCGGGCCACACGGUGUCCGGGCGCCCGGCCACCCCACACGGCGCAGGGCCCACGGACGGGCCCAGCGUCCGCCCGGCGGCUGUAAAUAUGCCCAGCCAUGAUUCAUUCGGACGUGUGUCUAUAUGGGCUUUCUAGGAGAUCCCUGGCAGUGCACGGGGGGCAUAUCUGGUGCGCGAGUGGGCAUGUCGACAUGUUUGCCGGGUCCGCAUUUCGUUAGGAUUCGGACUACCCCCACUUCAAGGCAGCUUGUUCGCGGUCAUAGUGGACCACCUAUAUGGUAAUAGGCAAAUGGAGGAACCGACGCCAGGAAUGUGGCGACUUUUAGACCAAGCCUUUGCAGCUCGCGACCGGGCCGGCCGCGCGAGAAUUGCGAAAACAACUCCCGAGGCCUGACCCAAUGCAGCCCAACCAGUGCGACAUAUGGCUUACACAUAUGACUGUAUAUCUAAUAUUUCACAGCGCUCGCCAGCAGCGCCACAAACGUGUGCCAGGUCGGGCCGUGGCACGGUGCCCGGCCAGUGCUCUGCGUGCAGUUCCUAGGCCGCCAUGCCCCUCUGGCGCAUACCGCUCCUACCCCCCGUCCUCCAUGCACCUCUGCAUACAUGCAUAGCAGUCGCCAGCAUCGCAACUCGGCAAAGCAGCCCGCGCACGGACACCGCCUAGGCGGCACCCAGCCCAGGGGUGCGUGCCAGGCCACGCGCUGCGCCCGCAGCCGGCAAGGGCCGCCCGGGCUGACCACGCAUGCCGCAAUGACGUGGAUGGCUGGCACAGAUCCUGUGCAUAGCGAUGCAGGCGGCUCUGUCCAGCCAGCAGCCGCCGACACGCACCCACCCGUGCCGUUCGUGGCCCGCCGCCGCCGACAGCACAAAUGCAGUGCAUCCCCAGUCGCGGCUUGGGCGUGGGAUUGGUUGAAGGGGCGCCGUACCGCUUCCGAUAGUACCCAGAGCCUGUCAGGUCAUUUGGGGAUGCGCAGAGGGGCGGAGUGGACAGGACGCGUGCGGAGGUAUGCAUGCUUCGUGUGGGGGCCCUUGACGGCGGGCGGCUUCUGCGGUGCGGUAUGGGCCGCUCCCGUGCCCUGGAGCCUGUGCGCUGUGCCUGCCCGGCUCUCAGUAGUGAGCCAGGCUAGAUGACAUGCUGUAACUGCGCUCGGGCCGCCAGGAAUCAACACGGCCGGGCCACACGGUGUCCGGGCGCCCGGCCACCCCACACGGCGCAGGGCCCACGGACGGGCCCAGCGUCCGCCCGGCGGCUGUAAAUAUGCCCAGCCAUGAUUCAUUCGGACGUGUGUCUAUAUGGGCUUUCUAGGAGCUCCCUGGCAGUGCACGGGGGGCAUAUCUGGCGCGCGAGUGGGCACGUCGACAUGUUUGCCGGGUCCGCAUUUCGUUAGGAUUCGGGCUACCCCCACUUCAAGGCAGCUUGUUCGCGGUCAUAGUGGACCACCUAUAUGAUAAUAGGCAAAUGGAGGAACCGACGCCAGGAAUGUGGCGACUUUUAGACCAAGCCUUUGCAGCUCGCGACCGGGCCGGCCGCGCGAGAAUUGCGAAAACAACUCCCGAGGCCUGACCCAAUGCAGCCCAACCAGUGCGACAUAUGGCCUACACAUAUGACUGUAUAUCUAAUAUUUCACAGCCCUCGCCAGCAGCGCCACAAACGUGUGCCAGGUCGGGCCGUGGCACGGUGCCCGGCCAGUGCUCUGCGUGCAGUUCCUAGGCCGCCAUGCCCCUCUGGCGCAUACCGCUCCUACCCCCCGUCCUCCAUGCACCUCUGCAUACAUGCAUAGCAGUCGCCAGCAUCGCAACUCGGCAAAGCAGCCCGCGCACGGACACCGCCUAGGCGGCACCCAGCCCAGGGGUGCGUGCCAGGCCACGCGCUGCGCCCGCAGCCGGCAAGGGCCGCCCGGGCUGACCACGCAUGCCGCAAUGACGUGGAUGGCUGGCACAGAUCCUGUGCAUAGCGAUGCAGGCGGCUCUGUCCAGCCAGCAGCCGCCGACACGCACCCACCCGUGCCGUUCGUGGCCCGCCGCCGCCGACAGCACAAAUGCAGUGCAUCCCCAGUCGCGGCUUGGGCGUGGGAUUGGUUGAAGGGGCGCCGUACCGCUUCCGAUAGUACCCAGAGCCUGUCAGGUCAUUUGGGGAUGCGCAGAGGGGCGGAGUGGACAGGACGCGUGCGGAGGUAUGCAUGCUUCGUGUGGGGGCCCUUGACGGCGGGCGGCUACUGCGGUGCGGUAUGGGCCGCUCCCGUGCCCUGGAGCCUGUGCGCUGUGCCUGCCCGGCUCUCAGUAGUGAGCCAGGCUAGAUGACAUGCUGUAACUGCGCUCGGGCCGCCAGGAAUCAACACGGCCGGGCCACACGGUGUCCGGGCGCCCGGCCACCCCACACGGCGCCGGGCCCACGGACGGGCCCAGCGUCCGCCCGGCGGCUGUAAAAAUGCCCAGCCAUGAUUCAUUCGGACGUGUGUCUAUAUGGGCUUUCUAGGAGCUCCCUGGCAGUGCACGGGGGGCAUAUCUGGCGCGCGAGUGGGCACGUCGACAUGUUUGCCGGGUCCGCAUUUCGUUAGGAUUCGGGCUACCCCCACUUCAAGGCAGCUUGUUCGCGGUCAUUGGGGACCACCUAUAUGAUAAUAAGCAAAUGGAGGAACCGACGCCAGGAAUGUGGCGACUUUUAGACCAAGCCUUUGCAGCUCGCGACCGGGCCGGCCGCGCGAGAAUUGCGAAAACAACUCCCGAGGCCUGACCCAAUGCAGCCCAACCAGUGCGACAUAUGGCUUACACAUAUGACUGUAUAUCUAAUGUUUCACAGCGCUCGCCAGCACCGCCACAAACGUGUGCCAGGUCGGGCCGUGGCACGGUGCCCGGCCAGUGCUCUGCGUGCAGUUCCUAGGCCGCCAUGCCCCUCUGGCGCAUACCGCUCCUACCCCCCGUCCUCCAUGCACCUCUGCAUACAUGCAUAGCAGUCGCCAGCAUCGCAACUCGGCAAAGCAGCCCGCGCACGGACACCGCCUAGGCGGCACCCAGCCCAGGGGUGCGUGCCAGGCCACGCGCUGCGCCCGCAGCCGGCAAGGGCCGCCCGGGCUGACCACGCAUGCCGCAAUGACGUGGAUGGCUGGCACAGAUCCUGUGCAUAGCGAUGCAGGCGGCUCUGUCCAGCCAGCAGCCGCCGACACGCACCCACCCGUGCCGUUCGUGGCCCGCCGCCGCCGACAGCACAAAUGCAGUGCAUCCCCAGUCGCGGCUUGGGCGUGGGAUUGGUUGAAGGGGCGCCGUACCGCUUCCGAUAGUACCCAGAGCCUGUCAGGUCAUUUGGGGAUGCGCAGAGGGGCGGAGUGGACAGGACGCGUGCGGAGGUAUGCAUGCUUCGUGUGGGGGCCCUUGACGGCGGGCGGCUUCUGCGGUGCGGUAUGGGCCGCUCCCGUGCCCUGGAGCCUGUGCGCUGUGCCUGCCCGGCUCUCAGUAGUGAGCCAGGCUAGAUGAUAUGCUGUAACUGCGCUCGGGCCGCCAGGAAUCAACACGGCCGGGCCACACGGUGUCCGGGCGCCCGGCCACCCCACACGGCGCAGGGCCCACGGACGGGCCCAGCGUCCGCCCGGCGGCUGUAAAAAUGCCCAGCCAUGAUUCAUUCGGACGUGUGUCUAUAUGGGCUUUCUAGGAGCUCCCUGUCAGUGCACGGGGGGCAUAUCUGGCGCGCGAGUGGGCACGUCGACAUGUUUGCCGGGUCCGCAUUUCGUUAGGAUUCGGGCUACCCCCACUUCAAGGCAGCUUGUUCGCGGUCAUAGUGGACCACCUAUAUGAUAAUAGGCAAAUGGAGGAACCGACGCCAGGAAAGUGGCGACUUUUAGACCAAGCCUUUGCAGCUCGCGACCGGGCCGGCCGCGCGAGAAUUGCGAAAACAACUCCUGAGGCCUGACCCAAUGCAGCCCAACCAGUGCGACAUAUGGCCUACACAUAUGACUGUAUAUCUAAUAUUUCACAGCGCUCGCCAGCACCGCCACAAACGUGUGCCAGGCCGGGCCGUGGCACGGUGCCCGGGCAGUGCUCUGCGUGCAGUUCCUAGGCCGCCAUGCCCCUCUGGCGCAUACCGCUCCUACCCCGCGCCCUCCAGGCACCUCUGCAUACAUGCAUAGCAGUCGCCAGCAUCGCAACUCGGCAAAGCAGCCCGCGCACGGACACCGCCUAGGCGGCACCCAGCCCAGGGGUGCGUGCCAGGCCACGCGCUGCGCCCGCAGCCGGCAAGGGCCGCCCAGGCUGACCACGCAUGCCGCAAUGACGUGGAUGGCUGGCACAGAUCCUGUGCAUAGCGAUGCAGGCGGCUCUGUCCAGCCAGCAGCCGCCGACACGCACCCACCCGUGCCGUUCGUGGCCCGCCGCCGCCGACAGCUCAAAUGCAGUGCAUCCCCAGUCGCGGCUUGGGCGUGGGAUUGGUUGAAGGGGCGCCGUACCGCUUCCGAUAGUACCCAGAGCCUGUCAGGUCAUUUGGGGAUGCGCAGAGGGGCGGAGUGGACAGGACGCGUGCGGAGGUAUGCAUGCUUCGUGUGGGGGCCCUUGACGGCGGGCGGCUUCUGCGGUGCGGUAUGGGCCGCUCCCGUGCCCUGGAGCCUGUGCGCUGUGCCUGCCCGGCUCUCAGUAGUGAGCCAGGCUAGAUGACAUGCUGUAACUGCGCUCGGGCCGCCAGGAAUCAACACGGCCGGGCCACACGGUGUCCGGGCGCCCGGCCACCCCACACGGCGCAGGGCCCACGGACGGGCCCAGCGUCCGCCCGGCGGCUGUAAAAAUGCCCAGCCAUGAUUCAUUCGGACGUGUGUCUAUAUGGGCUUUCUAGGAGCUCCCUGGCAGUGCACGGGGGGCAUAUCUGGCGCGCGAGUGGGCACGUCGACAUGUUUGCCGGGUCCGCAUUUCGUUAGGAUUCGGGCUACCCCCACUUCAAGGCAGCUUGUUCGCGGUCAUAGUGGACCACCUAUAUGAUAAUAGGCAAAUGGAGGAACCGACGCCAGGAAUGUGGCGACUUUUAGACCAAGCCUUUGCAGCUCGCGACCGGGCCGGCCGCGCGAGAAUUGCGAAAACAACUCCUGAGGCCUGACCCAAUGCAGCCCAACCAGUGCGACAUAUGGCCUACACAUAUGACUGUAUAUCUAAUAUUUCACAGCGCUCGCCAGCACCGCCACAAACGUGUGCCAGGCCGGGCCGUGGCACGGUGCCCGGGCAGUGCCCUACGUGCAGUUCCUAGGCCGCCAUGCCCCUCUGGCGCAUACCGCUCCUACCCCGCGCCCUCCAGGCACCUCUGCAUACAUGCAUAGCAGUCGCCAGCAUCGCAACUCGGCAAAGCAGCCCGCGCACGGACACCGCCUAGGCGGCACCCAGCCCAGGGGUGCGUGCCAGGCCACGCGCUGCGCCCGCAGCCGGCAGGGGCUGCAUGGGCUGGCCACACAUGCCGCAGUGACGUGGCUGGCUGGCACACAGCCUGCAACACGCCUCUAUAUGGGUUGAGAAGCCUGGACAAGGAUGUGGAGCAGCCACCGGGCUUCUGCCGCAGCCAACCACUUCAUCUGUGCGCCCCGUCCGAGCCACAAUGACAGACAUGGGUGCUACGCUUUCUGCAUGCACAUCCAAAACGAGACCCGUGAAGGCAUGCGCGCCUUCAAAUUUUGCACGUGCGUCUUUCCAGCCGUGCUCGUCCGCUGUCCAAUGCAUGAGCCGCCUACGAAAACCACACCAAAGAACACACACCGACACACGCACAUACACGCAAACCUCAUGGCCUCUAGGCACUUCCCGGUAACUUAUGUAUAGGUACAGCAUCAAACAUUUAUGUACAAUCGGCCGGCGGGCUCAUGUGCCGUUCGAUGUGGGCGGUCUUAUUUGUAGAGUCAGAUCAUACAUGACGCCCUCCCCAUGUGCGCUCCUGUUCGUUUACGGCCUUCUCGGCAGGACCACAAACGAGGAUAUCCGCAGGGAUUACCUUCAUACCACGUAAUCCGCACUUUAUGGCGUCAAAAGCGCAUCCACCUCAAGUAAGUUGCGAUUAGCUCAUCAAAGGCAGGUGGGUGUGGUCAUGGUGCUGUUACAUCGGUCGCUGCGGCACUGCCGGUCGCGGCCACACGCCUCGCCGCGCCGGAAGGCAGUACGACACGAGUACAGCAGGUCGGGGCGCAGCGGGUUGACGCUGGGGCCAGAGAGCGGCGCCUCACAGAAGGUGCCGCUGACGCAGUGGUUGUCUGCACGCAUCAGCAGAACGAGCAUGGCAGCACGAAUGGUUUACAAUUACACGUGGUUGUGGGAGGUUGAUUGAAGUGCAAGCUUAGCGGUUGAUCCUGGACUCCGGACCAGAAACCCCAACUAAAUGCACGCACACGCAGUCACGCACCUUCAUCGCAUUGCCGACAGACGCCCGUCACGCAGUGCCCGCUGGAGCAAUCCCUGCAAGCGAGCACGUGACGCCAAUAGACAUAGCUAAUAAGUGGGCGCAGGCAGCACGUCAACCACACCAAACCCGACGCGCAGGACACGUACGCGCGCGGCCGCAGCCCCUUUCCUACUGAUAAUACAGCAGAGAACAAAUCCCACCCUGUGCCCCGCAUCCCGGCCAACCGCCCGACCGCUUCAAGGCACCCAUCUACCUGUCUAGGUCGCACGCCCGGCCGUUAGGCACGGCGAUGUGGCAGGCGGAGGGCGAGUCGGAUCGGAAGUUGUCGCAGAAGGCCACAGGGUAGCCCAGCGCCGCGCAGUCCGAGUCCUCGAAGCAGCCUGUCGCGAGCAGACACACACACACGACGUUACAACCGUUUCUGGGACUGUACAGACUGGGCAUCGUGAAGCGCGGCUGCUGGUGGGCCGGCCCCCGCGGCCCCAGAUGCAUGGGGCCAUGCAUGCGUGGCAGUAUGUCGGUUUGUGCCUGUUGCGUGGUCAAGCCGGCGGCUUGGCCCCUCACCGAGGCAGUGCAUGCUGUAGGUGUCAUUGGUGCCCUUGGUCGGCCUGGUGGCGGUUGGAAAGAGCAGGAGUUUGGGAAGACGAUAAGGCGGAGUGCGGAGACAGGGGAGGUACGCACAGCGAUUUUAAUUUCUUGAGGAAGGAAUGUGAUGGUGCAACGGGACCGCGGGUCUCAUCCUAUACACUCGUACGGCAGGUCCGUUGGCUUGCACUAGCCCCAUUGAACCACAGCAGCCGUAGCUCGUCGCUCAAAUGCAGAUUAAACAUUUUUGAUGCGGCACUCACUUGUCAGACGCCUGGCAGUUUGGCACCAUAUUGCAGCUUUGCGACGCUUUCUGCACAGGUGGUGGGCAAUGCAGUGCAGCAUUGAACGUGUGAGCGGGUUGUGGUGAACCCUUCCCACCUCUCUGCAACCGCCCCCAGCCCUUUCAACGCCCCCUCCUUCAGACACCGCAUGUCUAGAUCAUGAUGUUUCACGUGGCCACAACCGCACGCACGGUUUCGCUUUGUCCCUUUGACUUCCCAAAUUAACACACGCGAGCGCACCAGGAUACAAGGAGUUCCAAUGCGGGCUUGCAGGAUGUCAUACGCCGCCGAGGGCAGGAAGAGAGCCGUGUUGCUGGGGGCCCAAGACUCGGGCCCAAUCUGUGAGAGAUGGAGAGGUGCAGAUGGUGUUGACGCACGUUAAGUAAUUGAGUCGGGGACACAUGGUUUUGGGUGGCGGGUACAAGCUUUCACUGCCAUGGCCGCAGCCAGGCAAUUCAUAAACUCACAGCUGCCUUGGGACCUCUGUCCUGCGGGUUCCCUUCCUUUGCAUUCCCUCACACGUAGCACAUGAGUAAAUCUUAACCUUGCUACCGGUAUCCUGGCACAGCCUACCUGGCAGUUGACCGCCAAGCUGGAGUGAGCGUCCUGGCUGGCGUUGUACGGCGCCACCUGGAAGCACCGGCCCGUGUGGUGCGUGCGGUGAGUGAAGGCGUGUACGGAGUGAGUAGAGGCAGGCCUCUCCAGGGGUGGCGCGUGCGCAUGUGGCAUGGCCAACUACUCGAACCCAGCUUGGACCCAACUCGAACCCAGCUCACAGCGACGACGUUACUUGCACCAACGGACGCAAGUCACGCAACAGCAUAUCACAACAACACGCAACAACACACAACAACACACAACUUACCAGCAUGUUGGGACAGAACAUGACGGUGUUGCCCACAUCGCGCAGGCCCGCGGACAGGGGCGGCACCGGGAAGUAGUCCCUGCGUCGUUGGCAGUUUGGAGACCGGGCGGAGGGAGGGAGGAGCAGGCGGUAAGGGGAAAGCGGGAAAGCGGGUGGAAGGAGUUCUGGUUCCGAGCCAGAUGAGGCUGCGGCGACCUUAACUGCUCUCCUGCUGCAUCAUGAAACGCCUGAUGGUUUCAGGGAACCCUGCUUCGGCACAACCCGUUGAAACCCCCAAACAGGUAACUAGGCACCCGUACACACCUGGCAAUCCUGUAGUGCAGCGUCCUGGGCCCAAGUAGGUUGUUGUAGCCGUUACGCCACACGUCAUUGCCCACACGCGGCGCAUUGAACAGGUACACGCCGCCCAUGAAGGGCCCGCGCACUCCAAGGGCCGUGAUCAGACGCAGCGCGGCAAUCGCUGCCACGCCAGCGCCUGUGUGCACAGCAUUUUACAAACACACACACACACUUAUGCAUUAUCCAUACCGUAUGCCGGUGCAUGGCUUGAGUUGGUAGGAAAGAUCUGGGCUGGUCAGCGUGCUUCCAGCUGCUGAUGUGUGUGUGCCAUGUGCAGGCGGAGUUGGUGACAGCAGUCCGUAAGCGGCACCGCCCCAAUGAGUUGCACGUACUAGGGUGUUCAUCACAUCCCCCUACCACAGGCCCUUCUCCCCUCUCCCUCCUUCCUCUCCCCCGCCUCCGCCCACGUUGCCGCUCUCUUACCCAUGCCGUGUCCCGCCACGUAGAUGCGCGAGGUGUUGCCGCCGCCUGCCGCCGCCCCCGCCGGCUUGACGCCCACCUCCGUGUAGGCCUUCCGCACCGCCCGCAAUAGGUCCACGUCGGUGGCGCUGAAUGCCGCUUUCAUGUCCACCUGAAGCCGCGUGUCCAUGGUAAACCACUCUGCAAGCGCGCAUACAUACCGUAUACAUACGUGUACGAGGGGUAUUGUCAUGUGGCUGAGUGCUGUUGGAUAAGGAGGUGGGCGACGGGCCGCAAUAACCACGUGGUGAUAGAUCGGGAGAGGUUUGAUUGGGGUGUGAGGAUUGCGCAGGCACAGACGCUAGCGCGCUCACACACGCAUACGCAUGUACCCUACAUGCAGAAACACUCGCAUGAUUCAUCUUACGUCGCCACACAGGGUUCAGUUCGCGCUACCAAGCGACUCACCUCCGGCACUUUCGGUCUGGGCGCUGAGGGGGGCGAGCCACGAGGCUGCACAGGAAUGAGUGGGGGUGCAAGGUCUCGAUCGCGACGGGGCCCAAUCAAACCAAGCCGGAAAGAGCACCGGACCAGAUAUAGCAGGGACAUAGGUACAGCAGCCAUGGGGCAACUGCACCCAUGAAGAGCACACGGGAGUGGCACGUGCUGGCUGGCUGAAACAGCCCCAGUCUCGUAGCGACCAUCCCCAAGCACAAUUCCCAGGCGGCGCUCACCCCGGUUUUCGUCCCCUCGCAGCAGCACGAACACGUCCGUAGCUGUGCGCAUCACAAUGGUUGUGUACGUCACCGCCGGGGUCGUGCUGCCCUGCUGCGCCGGCUUCACCCGGUAGUUCUUGACGACGGGCGGGGCCACGAUGCCCCACCUCUGUUAUCGAUUGGCAUGGGGGCAAGUGCGUGAGGUGUUGUAGUGAGGACAAGGGCAGUAUUGUAGUGAACAGCCUAGUGAACAACCUAGACGCCGCAGUACCGCCAGUAUUGUCAAACGCCAGAAAUCCUGCUGGCCUGUUCAUGGAUAAAGAUGACUGAACAUCGAUCUGCACAAACCCACGCACAAAGGUGCACACAUGCCGACACACACCCGCGCACAUGCGCCCGGGCCUGGACAGACGGCAGGGCCCAGCAGGAUACCCAUCCCCACCUAUCCUCACGCGCCCCCACCCCCAACCCCUGCCCCAACCCCAACCCCACCCCCCCACCCCAACCCCCCACCCCAAUCCCAUCUACAAGCCCAACCCCAACCCCAACCCGCACCCCUAACCCCGCCUCUACCUGUGCUCCGCUCAUUUUAGCUUGUUGAGUUUGGGCUGAUAUUUACAACCCACCCCAACCCCAUCCCAAUCCCCAACCCCUCACGCAUGCACGCACGCACGCACCUGCAUGCAGGCUGUGAAAGCCUUGUCGGGCGUCUUCGGAGACAGACCCCAAAACCUGUGUGCCAGAAAGAAGGGAAUGUUAUGAAGGAGCCCCUGGAUUAUAUCAUCAAGUAAAUGGCGGGUAAGGGUACGGCCAUUGACGGUUGGCACAUUUUUGAAAACAAGGCGGGAACCGGCAAUGUAUGGUUGCGCGCGCGCGGCACCGAUCCAACUGUUUGCAGAAUGUCCCUUAUUGGCACUCGGUGCGUGCGUGCCGCCGACGUUGCUCACCAGUCGUAUGACGCGGCGGUCAGAAAUGCAAACAGCGUGUUUUGCGGUUGGCUCGGGUAUGGCACAUUCCCGGAGCGGUUGAAACCACCGGCGGCGGUUAGGAAGCCGCCCUUGCACUCGCCGGGCCGAAGGGCUGCAGGCGCGUUUAAGUGCGGUUGCACAUUUCCGACCAGGUUGCAUGCGAGUGCCGAUCCAGCAGGACAAAUUCAGAAAGCAGACGAACAUUGGCUGAAGCAGAUUGCGGCUGUGUGGCUCGAGGCUGGACGCCCUCACCGCCGCUCCUUCCCUGCAGCCGCUGACCCUCUUGCCAUGAACAUCCUACGGCUACUCAUCUCAACCCUGCCUAGCUAGGAUAGCUCACCAACGCACGUCUUCAGGUCGUCGUCCCAGAACUGUUGAAGACGCGUGCCCCCGUUACUCGACGCAGGGAGAUCCGGGCACACGCAGAUGCCCGUGUCGCACGUCUGUAGGACAUACGGUAGGGCAUGUCGCAUAAGCGCACACAGGUGUUUGUUAUCGACAGCAACUCGCCGGUGUGCAGCUUCGAGGCUUUGCAUCGUAAAGCACAUGCGAACCCAUGCCAACCCUUUGACCGAGAGCUGCAUCCUACGCUUUCAUGUGCGCUCCCUCGCAAUUCCGCACCUGUCCGGUACCGCACACUGUGCCGCAGCCGCCGCAGUUGCGCUCAUCGCGUUGGAAGCUGGCAACAGCGACGCAUCCCGCGCCGCACCGCACCUGUUUAAAAUCAUGCAAUUUGUGUGUGGAUUACCCCAAGUCAGCCAGCGCAGCGGAUGGGGUGGCCAUCCUGGCUCUCAGGCAUCCUGGCCUCGUGCCCCGUGUACCGUAUGCACCUUCAAUAGGCACCCUCUCCUGUGACAUGUUGAGCCCCCCCGCAAUAGUCUGCCACCGCCCAGACCGCUCUAGGUCCAUCGGUAAAGGUGCACCUCAGCAUUGUGUCCACAACUUGCCUUGCCCUUGGGGCAGACGCACUUGCCGUUGCGGCACUUGGCGCCACCUGUGCACUUGUUGUUACAGGCUCCGCAAUGCAUGUCAUUGUCCUUCGACAGGUUCACACAGCCGUCGUUUGCCUGUGCAAUGAGUGCGUUCAUAUAAGCAUCUAGGGUCAUAUUGUUUGGGCAAACACUUUGAUUGCGGUGAGCACAGGUCUUGAACGAGCGGCCCCUGGUCAUCGUGCGGCACGCAGGAAGUUCGCAGCACGCCACGCAAGCUGCCACCAACCGACUGAUAGUCCACCGAGCUUCUACCCAGGCGCCGGCCAAAACGCAUGCCGGAUACUUACUCCGCAAUAGGUGGUGCCAGAGCGGCACUGGCACGUCUUGUUAACGCACACCAAGCCGUCGCCUUCUUUGCAGGGGCAUGGCCCCGCUGUGAAUGGGGUCGGCGAAGGCGUCGCGACCCCCACGGCCGAAGUAGAUUGUUUAAGCGAUCGUGUUGAUUGUGUUGCCGAAGCUCGCGAUACUACCAGCGCGAGCGCGCAUACAAGGGCAGUUGAAACGCAAAACGGGCCAACUCUACGUGAAGCCGUCAUUUCCGAAUACGAAUGGCGCAUGUAUGUACCCUUAUCAACGAGUAAGUAUGAAGUUGCGCAGAGUCAAUGACGCGCUGGGGGCCGCGGCGCGUUACGCGGAGAGAACUGGAGAGAAGCUCCCGGCGAAAAGCGAAAUCUGAACAUGUACGUGUUGCGUUUUGUGGCAUGUUAUGUUCGUUGCAAUUCAAUUGCCAAUCCUGAAUCAGGGCUGCAGAUACGCGCCGCGGCGCCGGUCACGACGCCAAAACCGUGUCGGCGCGCCCGCCCCUGCCCGCCCGCCCCUGCCUGCGCCCGCCGUGGCAUGCCCACCGAAACUGCCUCCGCUGUCGAGACAGGCCGCCCCUGCUGAAGCUCACUGAAGUUAGGGGGACCCUGCGCUGACGCUUGCUCAUCCGCAACAUGACAUCCUGAGUCUUAUAAGAUACUCAGGGUAGCUGAGCACGAACCAGCCCAAAAGCUUCUGACAUACGGUACGCCCACUGGCUGCGAAGCUGUUUCUGGGAAUCAGUGCUGCGCAACCGAGCCGAGAACGUAGCACUCACGCGCGUCGUACGGCCCGCUAGCCUUUUACACGGCUUCCAUUGCAGUGCUCCAAGCAAGAUUCACACAAUACGAUAUGGCCAUGGCCCUUGCCACGCCGUUUGUCAGAGUUGCAUCCUGCAGUCGGCUUGUGGUAAAAUGCGAUGUCCAGUCAGGAAGGUGGCUGUGCCGUCAUGCAUUCUUCUUCAACAAUAUUAUCAUCUCGGUCCAGCAUCCGUGACUCCGUGGCCCCGUCCAAGCUGUCCGCCUGUCCCGCACCGCACAACGUGCAACUCCAUACCGCAACAUGCACAUACGUGCGCUUCCCAUUCCACCCACUACAAAAAUCGGCUACCGCUGCUCGCCGCGCCUCCACCGCCCUUGCCACUGGCAGUAGCUGCAGCACUGAGGUCAGACAGGCUCAACGACAUCCCCAGAGGCGGCGGCACGUCUCCGGCUGUGGCCGGCACUGACAUCACUGCCGACCUGCCCACCGCGGGCUGCUGCUGAGCCGCCACACCAUCGCGUUGCGCACCACCGCCACCGCCACCCCCACCGCCUGAGCUGCUGCCCUCGCCUCGUCCGCUCCCCCUGGCAGUAGCAGGCGCGGCGGGCAGCCGCGGCACAGGCAGCCCCGCCGCCCGCAGCUGCUCAUCCAGACUGCUUCUCAGCUGUGCCACCAUGGCCACCGUCGCCGUCGUGGAGGCGGGCCUUGAAGCCGGCCCCGCCCCCGCCCCCGCCCCGGCAGCCGCAGCCGCGGUCUCGUGCUGGCUAUGCCAUGCUGACGGCGGCGCCCCGCCACUCCGCCUCACUCCAAUAAUGGCCUGCUGCUGCUGCUGCUGCUGCAUGGUGCCGCCAGCCGCCGGCCCGGCCGCCGCUGACGUGGCCCCUGUCGCCAGCCGCUCGCUCCUGAGCUCCGCCAGCCGGGCCUCAUGGCUGGCCGCCACGCCGGCGUGCCGCGCCGCCUCCGCCUCCUGCGCCAGGCUGCGGUGCCGGUGCUCCCGGCUGGACAGCAGCGCCCGACCCAACAGGCUGUCCAGCACACCACCGCCACCGCCACCAGCAGCACCAGCACCAGCAGCAGCACCGCCACCAGCACCAGCAGCAGCACCAGCACCAACACCAACAGCACCAGCACCAGCAGCACCAGCAGCACCAGCCGCGUGGCCGCCGCCGCUGCUGGCGCCAGUAGCAGCGCCGCCGCCUCCGUAGCUGCGGGUCCCGGCCGGGGCCGCCGCCUGGUGGCUGCGAGAGGCGAACCCGCCAGCUCCGUCGCCACUACUGGCGCGUGUCGUGCGGCUGCUGUAGUAGCUAGUGCCGGCAGCCACCCCCGCCCCAGCGCCAGCGCCGCCGCCACCAGAGAAGCUAGCAGGCAGCAGCGCGCUUGUGGACGCACUGGCUAAACCGGCUCGCCCGACGGCACCUCCGCUGGCCACGCACCCCGCGGAUGGCCGCGGUGCUUGUGCUGCCAGCCGCUCAAGCCCCGACGCCGCCGAAGCUGCGAGUGGGCCACGACGACCUCCGCCCGCGGGUCCAGCACCCCCUGCUGACGCGCCCCCGUUGCCGCGGCCCCCGCCGCGCCCUCCGUACAUUUCUGACGUACGGCCUGUGCCUCCCCCCGUGCCGCUCACAAAGCUGUCCUCCUCCAGAGUGGGCGAUGCGCAUCGCUCGGGCGGCGGCGGUUGCGGCAACGGCCAACCGUCGGUUGCGCAGGAGGCACCGUUGCCGCCGUUGCUGGCCGGGCCGAAGCCGCCCGCGCCACGCUGACCUCGUUGACUGGCGAAGGAGGCGGAGGAGGGCUGCGCAUCCACCCACGAGUCCCGCGCCGACGCUAGCUGUACGUGGUCGUCGUCGUAACCGUAUGGGUAACCGUUACCGUACGCGUCGUCGUACCCAGCAGUUGAGGCAGCUGCGGCGGGCGCGCGGUGGUUGUUGUGCAGCGGCAGCGCGGGCUGCAGGCCGCCAAAGCCACUGGGAGCCCCCGCCCCCGCCUUGCCGCCGCCACCGCCGCCACCGUUUGACUGCUGCUGCUGUUGCUGCUGGGCGUUGGUCCGGUCACCCAGGGGCCCUGUUGCCACUGCUGCUGCCUGCCUUUGCACCUGCGCCGCAUGUUGUUGCUGCUGCUGGUGCUGCUGUUGGUAUUGCUGGUACUCUUGGUGCUGGUGGUGGUGUUGCAGGACGGCUGUGGCCGCCGCCACCUGCGCCAUCGCAUCCGCCGCCAGCUGGUCGCGCAGCGCCGCCGCCGCAGCCGCCGUUUCCGCACCCAUCACCGCCGCCACCCGCCGCAACUCGCCCUGGUGCGCGUCCCGCAGCGCAACCGCCGCCGCCGCCAACCGCUCCUUGUACGAGGCGUCGUACGUUUCCGUUAGCUCAGCCACCUCGGCGGCGUGCUGCCGCCGUACGGCGGUUAGCUUGGCCUCGUGCUGCGCGCCCGCCGCCGCCAACGCUGCCGCCAGCCGCUGCAGCUCGGCCUGCUGUCGACAGAGCGCAUCCUCCAGCGCAGCGAUCUGAAGCAGCAAUGGAGUGGGACAGGCCGUAAACGCACGUCAGCCCUCCGCGCAUCCAUCUCGAUGCCGGUACGGCAUCAGCGGCUCUUGCCUCUGCCGGAUACUCUGAGCAUCGUCGCGCACCCCAAUCGACCAGCCGCCGAGCCCUCGAUUCCAGGUUUGCCACACCCCGGCCCCUUUGCCCCUGUCCCCCAUGCGUCUUCCUGCUUGGUGACCCAACCGGCCCUCGUCCCUACCCCUCCUCCUGCCCCCACCUUAUCCUCCUGGUCCUCCUGCGCUUGUCGAUGCGCCUGCAGCCGCUGCAGCCGCUCCACCUGAGCCUCCAUCCACUCCGCCGAGCGCCUCAACGCGUCCGCCUCCUCUGCCGUGCGCUUCAGCUGCUGCCGGUGGCUCCGCCCCUGCUCCUGCUCCUGCUGCUCCCGCUCCUGCGUUGAAUGCUGCUCCUGACCCUGGGCAUGGUGCGCCUGCUGCGUCUGCUGAAGCUGCUGCGCCUCCUCCUCCUGGGCUGCCUGCGCUUCCGCUUCAGCCGCGUCGCAGGCGCUCAGCUGCAGCAGCUGCGACUCCAGCUCCCGCACCGCCUCCCGCAGUGCCUCGGCCUCAGACCGCAGGUCCUGUGGUCAUGGCAGAUACAAAUACAUCUAUGAAACGACUAACGGACAGAUACGCCGUAAACGCGUUUGCGUUUGCGCCCUCUACAGCAUCCCUCUUCUAUUGCCCACCAGAACGACUGACUGUGUGUAACUUGGACACACCUGGAAUCACACCCGGGCCCUCGGGACUGACCCCAAACCGCACCUGCAUCUCCUCCUCCCGCUUCGCCGCGGCAGCCUCCACCUCCGCCACAGCCAUCGCCAACCGCGCCUCCGCCGCGCCCUGCGCCGCGGCUACCGCCGCCUCCAGCUCCGCUGCGUGCCGCGCCGCCGCCGCCGCCAGCCGCUCCUGCAGCGCCGCCACCUCCGCCGCGUGCCGCCCUAACAGCGACGACAGCUCCUCCGCAUGCGCCGCCUGCAGCGCCUCUCGCAGCCGUUGCAACUCAGCCUGCGCCGCCUCGCCGCCAGCCUUCCCAACGUCACUGCCACCCCCUCCUCCCGGCAGGCCCACACCACCCGCCUCCGCGGUGACGGCCGCGGCGGCCGCGGCGGCUGUCGCCUCUGCUGCCGCCUUUGCUGCCGCCUCCUGCGCAUGCGCUGACAGGUGGGCCCGCAGGGACUCCACCGCCGCCGCGUGCUCAGCCUGGAGUGCCGCCCGCAGCCCCUCCAGCUCCGCUGCAUGCUGGGCCUCAAGCCGCUGACGCAAGGCCGCCAGCGCGCCCGCCAUUCUCUCCUCCUGCUCCUCCGCUUCCGCCUCCUGACGCCCAACAGCAGCCCCUGCAGAGGCCUCGGCGGCGGCGGCGGCUGUAGCCUGCUGCACAGCUGCAGCCGCAGUAGCCUCCGCUACAGCCAGGUCCCGUAGCUCCUGCAGCUGUAACUGCCACUGCCGCCGCUCCUCCGCAUGCGCCGCCUCCAGCUCCCUCCGGAGCGCCGCCAGCGCCGCCGCCUUCUCGUCUUCCAGCCGCGCCGCCAGCUGCGCCUCCGCUGCCGCCGCCUCCGCCGCCAGCUGCUGCCGCAGUGCCGCCAGCUGCCGCCCGGUGGAGGCGGCGGCCGCGGCGUGGGCGUCCAUCACCGCCGCCGCCACGUCAGCCUCCGCGUCGCCCCGAGCCUGCACCACCGCCCACACCAAGAAGGGUGCCCAGAAUCGAGCUCACUCAGUCGGCCAUGCCCACUGCACGCAACCCUGCGCCCCGGUGGCGGCUACACACCCACAGCCAACCUCACCAGCAACCAGACCGCACGAUCCCGUAAUCCCCUACUCGGCGCUCUGUUGCACACGCACACGCGUUUCGACAAGAACAGUCGCACCUGCGCCAGCUGCUCUGCCAGCCGCUCCGCCCGCUCCCGCGCUGCCUCCAGCUGCUCUCCCGCCUCGUCCGCGGCCCGCUGCAGCUUUGCCACACGGUCGUCCACAUCACACUGCGCGUGUCAAAAUGUCAACAUGCGAAGCUGCAAUGUCAACGCGAGAAUGUGACGUCUCUUGGCCUAGCCCUUGACCUAGCUUUUGGCCUAGCCCUCGGCCACUCUUGCACGUUCCAACGAUACGGUAUCCCCGCCCCUUCCGCCCACGCUCCCUACCUGUGCCGCCUCCAGCCGCCCCCGUAGCGCCUCCGCCUCCGCCUGCAGCGCCGCAUGCGCCGCCGACAGCGCCUCAUAGCGGCCCGCGGCCGACGCAGCCGCAGCGGCCAGAGCCUCGUCGGCCUGUCCGGCGCGGCAGGGGAAACGGCAUGUAGAGCGUGUGGCUGUGCACGCAUGGUUGCCGUGCUUCACGUGACCGCUGUCGGUCGGCGCUGUGAAGAGCAAUGGGUUGGUGCUGUGACACGCGCGUAUGCCCUGCCGUGCUGUGUGCCUGGUUUGUGCCCCCGCAUCAGGCCUGUGCUCACCUGGCGCCGGGCCGCCUCGCGCACCUCCGCCAACGCCGACCGCACGUCUUCCACUGCAAUGUAGCGCCGCGGGUCUGUGGCAGCAGAGCAAAGGCAAACGACAGCCGCUCAUUGCUCUGCCCUGACAGCAACAGCCACUGGAAGGCAAACACACGGCAUCCAAGCCACCCCCUCAAACAAGGAAGGCAUCCAAGCUGCGUAACCAGAAAACGCGCACCUUUGGCGGCCGCCAACUUGGCAUUCAACUCCUUCAGACGCUCGAUCUCCUCGCGCGCCGCCCCCAGCAGCGCGCCCGUCGCGGCGGCUGUAGCAGCUGCCGCCGCCGCUGUGGCGGCAGUAGCAGAGCCGGGCAUGUGCUCAUCCGUCUGCGCCGCCGACUCGGCUGUAGCAGCCCGGCGCGCCUCAAGCCCGCCGUUACCCCGGCCAAAGCCGCCCGCUGCUUGGCCCGGAGGCGAGCCCAGGCCCGAAGGCCCGCGGGAACCAGAGGCCGCCGCCGCUGCAGCUACGGCUGCGCCCGGCUGCUGUCGUUCGUGUGUGGCCCCAUGCUCGUCAUCACGCCCGACCAUCUGCGCCCUCAGCUCAAUAACCCCCUCGCCACCCUGGUCAUCGUCAUCGUCGCUGAACAGCGCAUGCGCCAGCGACCGGGCGGCGUCAGGUCCCAGCGGUGUCCCGCCGGCCUCUGCCUCCUCGCCGCCGUCACCAUCGCCGCCCUCCGUGCCUUCAUCGUCACUGCCGCGGCUCCAGCCCACGUCCCCGCCCGUGCUUUCCCCCGUGUGGCGGCGGCUGGCGCCGCCUUGAGGCGCCGCGCCGCUGGGAGUGGCCACUGCGCCAAAGUCACUGAAGGCGCUCUGUGAGGGCUCGGCGCUGCACCCGCCAAAGCCGCCUCCGGCCUCCAACCCGCCGCCGUCACAGUGCCCGCCGACGUCCACCUGCAGACCCCGCCCGGCCCCUCUCGCAAAGCCGCCAACGCCGUUGCCUUCACGGGGCCUCGCGCCACCGCCGUGCUGCUGGCCGUCCUGGCUGUAGCACUGCCCACCGCCGUGGCUGUAGCAGACGGGGCCGCUGCCGCCGCCGCCGCUGUGCGCCGCCGCCAGCUGCUCCUGCAGUGCCGAUACCAGCCGCUGCAGCCCCUCACAGCGGUCCUGCUCCUGCCCCAGCCGCUCUUCCAGGCACUGCACACUCCGCACAAGCUCCGCCACCCUCGCCGGCCAGCCCAGCCGCCCCUGCUGCUGCGGCGGCCCCUGCUGCUGCUGCUGCGGUGGCUCUGCUCCGUCACUGCGACCGCAGGUGCUGCAGGCGCCUGUGCCGUUGCUACUGCCGCCCUCGCCGCUUGCGCUGGUGCUACUGCCGAAGCCGAAACCGCUGCCACCUGGGGUUGACGCCGCGCUCAGGGCCCCAAUGCUGGCUGCGCCAGUGCUGGAAGCAGCCUGGGUUGCGGCCACCGGGGCCACCUGGGCAGACGCGAAGGUGCCGCUGCCGGCGCCAAAGCCGGGACCGCCGGCUGCUGCAGCUGCCUCGCCGUGCUGCUGCUUGAGCUGUAGCAGUUCCUGCAAGUACGACACCUGCACAUGGGAGAAAGUGCCAGCACGUAGUCCAAGGUCAGUCACAAGCCACAUAGUCAGCGCAUGCAUCACCGGUCAGUGCACACGCCGGUACACGUCCCUGCCCAAUGUCUGUGUGCAUGUACGAUGUCGCAAGGACACAAGAACACUGCGAUGGGCUCUGUUGGCACCGUGGUUCGGUCUGCAUUCACCACCAGUCACUACCCCACCUGGUGCGCUGCCGUCCGUGCCUCCGUCCGUGCCGUCGCGGCCUCCUCCUGCAGGCGUCGCCGCUCCUCCGACGCGUCAGCCUGCAGGAGCACAUGACAAAUGGAGCUUGGUGGUGCCACUUUGCAGCCGUUGCAACACGACUGGCUCAGCAUAAGGCAAGCACGCGGCACCGAAGCCCGACCACUCGGCGCCGCCAAAAAAUAUGUAGUACACCCGUGGAUGUUCGGACCCCAACACCCAGACACCUUGCACAAUACGUAACCUUUCUCUCGCCAACACGCGCCAGCGUGCACGCACGCACACAAACCCACACAUACACACCUGCACUCGGCGAAGCUCCGCAUGCAGCCGCAGAAGCGCCUGGCCCCCGCCACCGCCAGCCGCCACCUCCAACUGCAUUUUUAACCCGUACGGCCGUGUCAGGCAACCGGCAGUGCCAGCAGCUUGGUGGCCAUUUACCGGCGCAGCCCCCCAAGUCUGUAUGCAAACUACUGGUCUUAACCUCUCCUAGACUCCAGCGCCAGCCCUUCGCCCACACGGCAUCUGGACCUCCCGCCCGCCCUCAGACUUGCACUUACGUCCACGUGCUCCUCCAGCGCGGCCUGCAAGCACUCAUUCGCCGCCGCCAGCUCCCGCCCGUCAACCUCCACCGCCGCCAGCGCUGCCGCCAGCCGCCCCCGCGCCGCCUCCGCCUCGACAGCUGCCGCUUGAGCUGCUGCCGCCGCCUCCUGCUGCCGCGCCGCCGCCGCCUCUGCGUUUGCCAGCUUCGCCUCAGCUGCCUCGGCACGCUUCGUGACCACAUCAAGUUGAGCAUGCAGAGCCGCUGCUUCAGACGCAGCCGCCUGCUGGACCUGUCGUUGUUGUACGGUUGUCACAUUGGGCAUGGUAAUGCAUAGGUUCAAUUGGAGUUACAGGGGUCACCUCCCGUGACUCCAUGCCUCAUCCGCACUUGACAGGGAACGGUGCGUGCGCCGGUACGCUUGUACAUACGCGCUGCUCAGCCUGCUUGUUUGCGGUGCUCCCACUCCAAUUGCUGGCCCGGCGAUACGGCGUGUGCGGCGACGGGCCAGCAGCCUCUUUCCGGCUUUGGCCCAACCCCCAGUCCCAUCCCUCCAGCUUGACAACUUGCGGCCCACACGCACCUGCUGCAGCUGCGCCUGCAGCUCCUCACCACCGCGGCCGCGGGCAGUGGCCAUCAGCCGUGCAGCGCCCAGCUCGGCUGUAGAAGAGAGGAGAGGUGAAGGGAUCAGCGCCGCUCAGCCCAAGGCCAAGAUCUCAACCCUGGAAGGCCUUUUGCCUCAACAUACUGUUGACAACGGGAUAUGCAUGCCAAACCCACACGCAGCUUGCAGUCGUCCCUCAGUGGAGGACGGAGUCCCCUCAGGUGCCCGCUCGCAUCCAAAGCUCCUUACAUGCCAGCCGCUCCCGCUCCGCCGCCGCCGCCUCCAGCGCCGCCGUCGCGUCCCGCUCCGCCGCCGCCAGCCGCCCGGCCAGCGUGGUCACUUCUUGCUGAAGCAGCCCAAUCUGGGAGAGGGCGCAGCGAGAGCAGAUAGAGUAGGAGGGGUGAAGACGUCGACGUUGUAGGUUGCACCGGGGGUACGGGAAGGCUCCUGGCCAGCCCGAUACAAUGUCGACACAUGAGCCACGGCCAGCUACAUGAAGAGCAGCGCAGCGUUCUUCGCUGUCUGGUCCGUGUUUUGUGUGAGUAGCGCUGCCCGCUGCCCUGGCUUUCGCACCUGUCCCAGUCUCGCCGUAAGGUCCGACUGCAGCUCCGCCACCACCGAGCCCUGUCAUGAUAUGGAGCGGCAGGUGCAGAGGCGGCUUGGGCGACAGGCUGCUGAGCGCAAGUGCUGAAGAGUGGAUAUGCGUACGCACGUCGAGCACGAGAUGUACGCUGCGGCCCUUCCCUUGCUCGCUCAACCUUUGCCCAGACCUUGUGCAGGCCCCGAGGCCCGCCAAGCAGAGUCCGCGUCCCCAUCCCUACACCUCUACAGCCACCCCGCCCGCCACCAUUACCACCAGAGGCAGCCCCCACCUGUGCCAGCGCCAGCCGGCCCUGCAGGUUGCCCCCUAGCAGCGCCACAUCCCGCCUCAGCGCCUCCACCUCCGCGCCCAGUCCCCAGUUGUCGCGCUGCAGCGCAGCCACGUGCGCCGUGGUGUCCUCCGCCUGUGCGAUCAGGUGCCACGUGUGAGCGUGUGGGUUCGCGUGGUGUCAGUCGCAUUUGCGAUGGAGCAGGUUGGUUCGGGCGAGUGGAAAGGGCUGGCACUGCGUUGCGGGUGACUUGGGGCUGUGAACUCCGGGCGCAACACGCGAAGCGGCAUACACACCUACCCCAGCCCGCCCGAAUGUACCACACCUGCUGCGCCGCCCCCGCGGCCCGCCGCUGCGCGGCGUCCAACGCCUCCCGGAGCUCCGAGUACUUGCGCUGAAGGCGCUCGAAGUCAGUGCUGGGCGGCAGCGUCUGCCAUCCUAGGUGAGUGCCGUGCUCGGAGCCGCUUGCACCGCUUGCCGCGCAGGUCGGUGAUGGUCCCAUCGCUGGAUGCGCAUCCUGUCCCUGGUAUCCGCUGCUCGCAAAGCUGUGUUCAGACGCUGCUUGCGGUGGGAGAGUCUCUGUUAAUCGAUGCACGAUUUUCGCGUCACCAGCAUCGCCAGCCCAGCGGUGACCACCCCACGGCGAGGGCGUUGAGUUCGCCGGCAUUCUGUAGGCUUGAAUUUCUGGUGGUUGCUCAGUGCCCGCGCGUGCCGAGCUGGGUUCGGCUGUCACCAGCCUCGGCUGUCCAAAGGCAGAUGGCCUGAACGUCCAGCCAAGGCUUGACGCAGGUGGGAGCUCCAUAUUCAAAUCCGUUAACGGCUAGACCGCAAAAGAGCAGGAGUUGGGUCUGCGUCGCGGCAUUUUGACUGCGGCUCACAACCUCGCUAUACGUCAGCUUUAGGAGGAAAUUACAUAUAGUGUGCUAAAUUGGUAUAUGCAGCAAUUUGAUAAGAUUGCGAGAGCGCCGGGCAGGUGGGCAGGUGGCGAUCGGUUCGGUGGCACCGUCGUCGUUUGGUUCAGUUUGGUUCAGUCCCUUGGUCGGGGUCUUGGGGACAGGUGAACAUCCAUGCGCGUCAGGUAUGGAAUUAUCUCAAGAGGAGCGAUGUUGAAAGCCAAGGGUAACGUGAGGCGCAAAGGUAGACCUGAAAGGUCGCAGGCCCAAUGAUCCGGCACGAACCCGAGAUGGGGGCCCGCCCUGUGACCGGUGAGACCGGGUUAAACAUGUUUGUGUGCUCCAUAAGGCUUGCGAACACUUGCAUGACACCAUGAUACGUUCCUGAGCAAGAAGGGCAGCCCGCGCAGCUGUGACGCUCCUCCAUCUUUGUCAAAGCGGCGAGCCUGUUUCUGGCCGCAUGCCAUAGUGUUUAAUUUGAACACUGAGAUAUCGUUAUGCCAUUAAAUACAAGAUUGUAACUGAGCUCGGACACUGGCUCCAGCGAACGCGUCUCGCGAAAUGCUCUACUGGCCUGGCGCCAUCUGUACGCAACUGCAGAACUAGAGUUUUUGCGUGAUAUCAGGCUCAGAACUCUAUUCUAAGAGGUGACAACAAGCGUAGAAGAAGGUCACGCUCAGGACCGCUGCGCUGCAGAACACCCUCAACAUGUCGGAACGGAGCCACACCGGUGUGAACCCUAACCCCGGCACCGCCCCGGCACCCCAGGACCUUCCACCGCCGCCCGCCGGGCAGCUGACCACGCAGCUUCACGGCUUGGCUCUAGAUCUCCAGCUGCAAUCACAGUCGCAACUGCCGCCUCCCUCACAGCAGCCUGGGGAAGGGGACGCGCCGUCCCCCAUGGACAACAUCCCCACGUCAGGUGCCCAACACCCCGGUCCCGGGCCCAGCUCAGGCGCAGCUUCCCCCACCUCCACUCACGCCGCCCGCUGCCCCUCUAGGGUAUGGAUCCCAGACAUUGUUGACCGGAUCGCAGCUUUCCUGCCGCCCAACGAGAUCCCGGCGUCUGUCCGACUGGUCAACCGCGCAACAGCCAGUCAAUUCGGGCGAGAUCGGCGCCACGUCACCCUUGUGGCGACCGAGCCAGUGCCCCCGCACGCCUUCAAGCGGCAGUGGGGGCACCCGGGGGGCGGGGCGGCGGUGCGGGCAUUGAGCCGGGGCAGCCGGCAUUUGCUGGUCACGGCCACGGCACGCACCGGCGUGUUGGAGAACCUGCAGGUAGAGCCAGGAGUCGGCUGUAGGCACCGAGAGGGGCGGGAGCUGUCUGUGGGAAGGUUCUGUAGAUGCAGUGGCAUGGGGGUUUGGGGCUCAUGCCCUAGCCACGGGGUGGGUAAGGCUUACACACACACACACGCACGCACGUACACACACACACACACGCACACGCACACGCACGCACACACACACACACACACACACACACACACACACGGGGCCGCCUGCCAUAAUUGCACAAUCACGUAGCGUACAUGCGCGCGUGCAACGCCACACGAACACUCACGCGCAGGCCUUCACAAACAGACCUUCACGCCCGCGCCGGCAUCAUCGUGUUGCCGCGCCCCGCACAGGCGCUGCUGGCCUGGGAGCAGUACUUCCCGGCCACCUGCGCGCUGAUGGCGGACGCGGCGGCGGGCGGCCACGUGGGCGUGUGCGAGUGGCUGCGGAGGGAGGCGGGCUGCCCGCUGCCCAGCCACUGCCUGCCGGACGUGGUGUGGAGGUGAGGGGCGGGGGAGGUGGGGGUUGUAAUUACCAGCCCAAACUAAACCAAACCCAACUAAGACGAGCGGGAGGGAGAGGUGGGGGCGGGGGAGGGGAGGGCGGGGACAAGGGCUCGGGGGGAUCUGCCCGUGCGGCUACAUGCAGCAUGCUCCGAAGCAGCCAUGAAGAAAUUGUGGACGAGGGCGACGGUGUGGCGGCGUUGCGGAGGAGAGGUCAGGGGUCGGAGGUGUUUACCUUACCAAACCGCUUCAGCUUCUCCGGCUGCCCGCCUUGACUGCCCCCUACCUGACUACCCUCUGGCUGCCCCCCGUACUUGACUACCCUUUGACUGCCCCCGGCCCCGACUGCCCCCGGCUCCGACUGCC